RNAcentral lists this long non-coding RNA (81082 nucleotides) under Medicago truncatula (barrel medic). RNAcentral's name for it is "long non-coding RNA (MTRU_LNC001554)". The stretch from base 45181 to 45420 matches the Rfam family "MIR2655 microRNA precursor family". Lineage: Eukaryota; Viridiplantae; Streptophyta; Magnoliopsida; Fabales; Fabaceae. The record is from RNAcentral.
AAGGGUUAAUUAAGUUUUUAGUCCCUAUAAAUAUUCACAGUUUUGUUUUUAGUCCUUAUAAAAUAAAAUCACACUUUUUAGUUCCUGUGACAUUUUCCUUAAGCAUUUUAGGGACUAAAAAUGCUGAUGGAAAAAUUUUAUAGGGACUAAAAAUGCUUAUGAAAAAUUUUAUAAGGACUAAAAAUUUUGAUGGAAAAUUUUAUAAGGACUAAAAAGUGUGAUUUUAUUUUGUGGGGACUAAAAACAAAAUUCUGAAUAUUUAUAGGGACUAAAAACUUAAUUAACCCUUUAAACAAAACAUAAUCAAUGAACCACAUUUAAAUAAUAAACUCUAACAAUAAAAAAUAAAAAUUAUUGUACAUUUAAACUCUGUUUCAUCUUCAGUUGUAACUUUUAACUUCAAUUGUUCCAUUUUCUCAUUUAAAUACUUGAGCAAGUAAUAUGUUUGAAUGAUUUCAAAUCAAUCAAUAAUAACAAGCUUCUGAAUGCAUUCCCUAAAAUUCAAUGUAUGUCAUUGUUACGCAUUGGCGUACCUUCUGUACAUAACAAGCAUGGAAAAAAUGAGUUAUUUUAACCAAAAUAACCAAGCACCUUGACAUUGAAAAAAGAAUUAGAUUUUGAAAGAAAACGAGACAAAAAAAAUAACCAAAAUAAAAAGUAAAAAAAUUCAAAAGUAAACUCGGACGAGUUUACUCCGAGUUUACACGAGUUUAACACGUGUUAACUCGGUCAAACUCGUCAAACUUUCCGAUUUCAUCAAAAACCGAGUUUAUCUCCGAGUUAACACGUUUUUGUCAUCUAAAAACGUAAACUCGUGCGAGUUUACAAGUUAACACUCGAUUUGUGGAACAAUAACUUACAUUCUAAAAAGAAUCUUGGAAAGCAGGGAACAUGCCAGGAAACGCAACAGUCAUGUAUGCAAUCAGAUAGGCUAGUAAUCCCAAUACAAAAUUUUAUUGCACCUUUUAUUAUACUAGUAAAUAAUAUCUAGUGUUAUGAAAUUGAUCUAAAGUAUUGCAAGAUAUUGUAAAAUAUAUAAGAAUACAGAGAAAGGAAUAAAGAGAGAAUAUUAUAGCAUAUUUUAUUACUUAAUAAGUGUGUCAUUACAUUGUAAUAUAGGUUCUAUUUAUAGGACACAUAUAUAUAAAUGAAUGAUCAUAUUACAAUCCACUCACUAGUGGAAGUGGAAGUUAGAUGGACAUUCACUAAUAAAUAUAUACAUAUCUAGGUUGAACACCACUUUUUAAUGAAGAAAAUGCCAAAAUAAAAUGUGUAUCGUGUAUUUGGUAGAGGUAGAGCUAACUUCGAAACCAAAACAGAAAAUGAGUCUUUGAUGUAGUGUUUGUCUGCUAGCGAACAAAACACAUGGGAUAUAGACAAUAGACAAGAUUUCUUUUUUUUGAAAAAAAAAUGAGUUUUCAGGUAAAAGGGUCAAGUAAUAUCGAAGUAUUGUAUGAUUUCAAUAUCCAUCAAUAAGAGUGCAACAAAUAGUUUUCUUAAAGGAUAAUUAACUUGAGAUGAGUCCCCGUGAGUUUAGCUCAAUUGGCAUGGACAUUGCAUAAUUUAUACAGGGGUCAGAGUUCGAACCUCGGACAUCCCAUUUCUCCACAUUUUAAUUGUGUGAGCUCUAGCCACUGGACUACUAGACUAUAAAAAAAAAAAAAAAAAAGAUGUAAUUGUUACUUGUGUAGCAAGUAACUGUAGAACAUAACUAGCUUAAUCGUUGUAACAUAAUUAGUUAGUUUCAUUUUUUAGGUCUAGUUAGUUAGCAACAGUAAUUUAGUUAGAGUUUUUGAUUACACUAUAUAAAGCUGGUGUUUCAUUGUAAAUUUAUAAUACUUACAUUUUCUGAAUAAUGAAAUUCCUUGUUCACACUUUCUUUGUCUUCUUUAAAUCUAUGCACAUUGCAAUCUUAGUUUUUACUGUUUGAGAUUACAUCUUAACAUUCUAUACCAGUCGGAUAUGGUAUAUCAUCUCCAUAAUUUCUCUUUUUUCUUUAUAUUUCUAUCAAAUUCAUUUAUCAAUUAAUUCGUUUUUCUAUUAUUCUUAUCCUUAAUUUUCUUUUCUCUCUGAUUUUCUGUUAGAAACGUGUUUUCUAAUGGUUUUUUCUUCCUUCCACCAAUUUUCUUUUCUGGUUGUGUUAUUUCUGUUAAGGUAUCAACGCAAUGCGGAAGCACAAGAUCGAUGCUAUUGAGAAUUAAAGAGAAGUAAGUAAAAUAACAAGAGAAAUUAACACACAAGAUUUACGUUGAAAACUCCUCAAUAUGAGAAGUAAAAAACCAUGGACGGUCACGAAUAAAGUUCCACUAUGUAAAAGAAAAGAGUACAACAAGUCCUCUUAUAGUGAUGAGGACAAAGGAUAAUAUUUUCACUCAAUAUUUCCUAAAAUACUCUCUAAAAUGGAACAAGAAUUCUCACAAAAAAUACACCCAAGUGUAUGUUACAAAGUGUGUUUGUAAUUGGUUUUUUCAUGAUCAUUCACGACAUGUGAUUGCUGUAUAUAUAGCCUCCAUUCCACAAUUCUUAAUGGUGAAGCAAGUAGCAUAUGCAAGCAAGUAGGAGGUGUAAAGCAUAUGCAAGUAAGUAGGAGGUGUGAAGCAUGCAACAUAUGUGACAUGUAAAGCUUGGAGACAAACCUUAACCACUAAGGGAUAAGGAGCCGUAAAGACACAAAAGGAAACUUCACAAUUAAGGACUUGACUACAAGUAGCUUAUAGAUGAAGUAAUUGAAUGAGAGCCACAUAAUCCAACAAUUUCAUCUUUUUUGAAUCAACAUGUCCAUUGCAAGUUCUUUUGAAAGCAUUAAUGGUGGAUACGUUGUUUCUAUUGCCAAGAAUAAAGGUUACCAAACUGAUACUCUAAGUUCAUAUUUCAUGCAUCCACAAGAGAAUAUAGGUGUUAUUCUUGUAUCCCUUUGUUAUUUGGAAAUAACUACCAUUCUUGGUGAACAAAAAUCAAAAAUCGCAUCAUUAUAUCAAUUUGUAAUUGUUAAAUAAUAUGUUAAAUUUUUUUUAAGGAAAAUAAUAUGUUAAUUGGUAAUUGUUAUUUUAUAAUAAAAAAAAAAUGAAAUGUUGACUAUAUGCUUACAUACAUUUUGAAGAAAAGUUGAUUUUUUUUUCUUUUAAUUUCUUCAAAGAAGUAAAAUAUAAAAAAUGAGACAAGGGAAAGAGAAAGUUGUUGUAGAGAGAUAAAAAAUACUCAUGAGUUUUCAAAAUUUCAUAUUAUCGACUUUCUCAAAUUGUGGUAUAAAAAUUUGUUUCCGCAUAUAUAAAUACUUAAAUUCCACAGGUGGCGCGAUGUAAAUAUAUAACGGGUUUAUGCAUAUAAAAUAAACAAAUAUUUAAUAAAAAUACUACAUUAAUGUUGAUAUAUUUUAUUUAAUAUAUUUAAACAUUUCACAACAUUAUAAAUGUAUUUAUUUUUUUAUAUAAUUCAUGUAAUGUUAUGCAACAGUCUUUUAUUAGUCUUUAUGAAGUUUUGAUUCCCAUAUAAGAGUUUAGCUUUUUCAUCUCCUAUUUCAAUCUUUUUUAACUUUUGAUUCACACUCCAUAGAAAGGUCAAUUUUGAUCAUGUGUCUAAAUUAUUAAUGGUGUGACAGAAAACAUGUGGACAUAUUAAAUUAGUGACUUGUCUACAUAUGCUCUAACACAUCAUUAAUAAUUUAGAGACAUAAUUAAAGUUGACUAUAAAAUGUAGCGAUGAUCAAGAGUUAGAAAAGGAUGAAAUAGAAGAUUACAAAGAUAAAUAUUAAAAUAGAGAUACAAAAACUUUAAAAAAAAAAAAAAAAAAAAAAAAAGGGUAUCAAAAGUGUGCUAACUAACUUUAAUGCUCGUAAUGAAAAUAUAUGUUUUUUUUUAUUUCUUGUAUUAUAAAAUGUCGAUAUUGUAUCAUUUUUUAUGUGAUUUUUUCAAUAAAACAUGAGUUCCUAUGUUUGCAAGAUGAAUAGUUGAGUGUGUUUAUGAGUUUGAUGAUUUUUUAUUUUAUUUAAUUUUAUAAAAAAAUUAUAAAGAAGGAUAUUGUUGUUGACAUUUUAUACAGGGUUAUUGCAACUAAAUUAAAAUACAAAUUGUGUAAUUUUGUCAAAGAGAAAAGGUAAGAAAUAAAACCCAAGAUGUAGAGAAAGCAAACUGGAGAACGAAGGAAAAAGAAAGACAAUGGACAUGGAGGUCGUUGGAUUCUUUGACGGUGGCGGUGUGCGGCUAAACAAGGAGGAUCCACAAUUUAAGCGGUGGAGUCUCUGUUUUUUUUUUUUUAUCGAUGUGGUGUUUUAGAUGAACAACUGUUGUUCUUUUUGCUACUAUUCUUCUCUACCCUUCCUUCCCUCUCCUAUUUUUAUAUCAGUAGAUGUAGAAGUCUAGAGUUUAUAUGCCACAUUUUUAUGAAGAAAAUGCCAACUAACUGUACUGGGAACAAAAAAAUGAGUUUUUUUUUUUAUGAAGUGUUUGUUUGGUUGCGAGCAGAACACAUGUGAUAGGCAUGAUUUUCUUUGGUAAUAUAUGAGUGUGAGGGAAAGUAUAAGAAAAACGGUUCAAAAAUAGAAUUUGCAUACUCAUAAACAAGCAUCCAAUGUCAUGAGUCAUACAUGUGCCUAAUGAAAUUAAAAAGAAGGACAAAUGAGAUGAGAAUGAGUUUUCCUAAUCAAAGGGUUAUUGUGAUAGCUUCAGUCCACAAUGAAAUUGUGUCCACCAAAAUAUUUAAGUCCCCCAAAGCCAUUUCUUCUCCUCCCUUCUAAACUCCCAAUCAUUCUUCAAAAAUUUCAAACUUGACAUUAGAUAUUUACUAAAAUCAAUAAUUGGAUGCGAGUCUAAGCUUAUAGCAUUACAUUUCUUAUGAUAGCAGUAGAUAGAUAAAGAAUUAUGUUGGAGAAAUUUAAUUGUAGACAUACUAGUGUAAAAAUGUCAUUAGUUGAAGCUUCAAUAUACUCCAAUGCACAAUGUAUUUGGUUGAGUAAUGCUCAUUUGACCGAAGAAUGGUUUAUAAUUUCUUUAGUAUUUUAUUUGUUACAUGAAUGGGGACGCAAUGCAUUAGAUUCUUAGUAUUGAAAGAAACAUUAUGGUGUCUCAAUAUGCAUUAAUUUUCUAACUAAAUCCAAUUCUCAAUUGUCUUCCUAUAACUUCCCUCUUUUCACUUAAUCAAAAGAGGAAUGAUAGGAACACUCUCUUCAACAUUCAUUCUCUUAUUGCAUGAAACCAUUGUAUGACCCACCACUUUGAGUGGAAUCCAUUCCCAAAGCAUGCGACUCGUCAUGAUUUAAGCCAUUAAAAAAGUGAGUGGUAGAGAAAGUGUUGAAAAUAGAGUGUUGCUAGAACUACUCUAAUCACGAUAAAUCAUGAGCCCGCACGAAAAACAACCACUUUUGUAUCAGGAUAAUUCAACAACGAAAUACAUAGUUGACAAUGUGGAUAAGAUUCUAAGCUUUGUUUGCUUUCUCAACUUCGAAGAGCUAGAAUUUUUCAACUUUGGAAAGUAUAGUAUUAUUAAAGUCACUCAUUAUGUCCAUCUAAAAUAUCUUCGACCUGCUUUAACCGUGAAUGAGCGGUCGCACAUUGUGAAAUUUUUUGUUGACGAAUGUAGUAUUGUAAAGUUAUAUCUCUUUCAGGCUUAUCGAGGAAACCUUGCCCAUACACUCCACUAAGUAGACUAUGCAUAUCAAAGUUAAUUGUAUUUGACAAAUAUGUUUCACCAAAGAAAUCCUUCACGCAUCAACCAUAAAAAAAUGCACAACAAGAAAACAACACAGCACAAGGCAACCAAAGAUAGUUUGCAUUGCAAACCAAGCGAAUGAGCUCAUGUGGUUAAUGAGAUAAUUCAUUAAGGAUAAAUCGUUUAAGAGAACCCGAGUUCAAUUCCUAUGUGGAAUAAUUUUUGGUCAUGCCAUUCUCAAUUCUCACCUCACGUAGGAAAAAAGUUAGUUUACAUUUCUAAAAGUUAGAAGCUUCUAAAAAUGUGAGUAAAACCCACACACGAAAGUGGAUUUUAGCUUUUCACUAAAGUUAUUGUUGAGUAAUAAACAGUGCAAAAAAAAAAAUUAUUAAUCCAAAUCCAAUGUUUCUCAAAGUCAAUAAAUAACACUAAAAAGUUGAUAUGAACGUCAAGAAACAAACAUAACAAAUUAUCAUUUAGGGUGUUUUUCAAAAAAUAAUUUUAUCAUGUUGAGUCUGGGCUCCGCCAACAACAUUUUACAUCAUGUAUAGGUCCUUUUCUGUUUGACCAAAGAAGCAUGCAUAGGUUUGAAAUUUGCGAAGGAGAAAUUUUGAAACCCUACGAGUCCAGAAGUUGCAACAUUUUCCGAUCUAAAAAUGGGAAUACAAAUUACGAUUUUAUUAGAACAAUUGAGUUGGUAACUAAGCAAAGAGAAAAGUAAUGAAGUAUGAUGCACUCCGCAAACAGAAAUAUUUUGAUCUUCUAACAAAGAAGGAAGAGAUAGAAUGAAGAUUUUAUUUUGGCUGAAGUGGUGGAGUUCUUUUAUUGAUAUGGUGGUGUAUUGAGAGGAACAAGUGUUUUUAUACUAGUAGAAUUAUAGGCUAUAUGUCACAAAUAAUGGCUUGAUGCCUUUCUCAUUGUUAUUCCUUGUGUAUAUAUAGAGGUUACAAGGCUAUACAUAUAAUUACACUACAUAAUUACAUAUAAUGGAAACAAAUCAAUUUUUGAUUUAUGUCCUUAUUUCUAGGAACAAACUAACAAAUAUAUCAAAUCAACUCCUUAUUCACACUAUAGACCACUUUUUGGUGAAGAAGUUAGUAGAAGAGAGGCAGAGAUUAGGUGAGAAUGGAGAAGAAAAUGAGAUUUUGAUUUUUUGUUUGUUUUGUAGCAAGCAUAACAAAAUUGAUAUGUAUGAUUUUUUUUUUUUGGGUAAUGUGAGUGAGACUGGAUCAAAAAUAGAAUGUGCACCAUACUCACAAACAAGCAUCCAAUGCCAUGUUCCAUGUGCUAAUUCAAAUUCAAAAGAAAAACAUAGAUGAGGAUAAGCUUGGUAAUCAAAGGGUUUUUAUGAUCGUUUCUGUCCACAAUGAACAUGUGCCGGUGGACGAACAAGAGACCAGAUUAAUUACUCCCUCGGUCCCUAAUCAAAGUAGAAUACACACUCACAAACAUGCAUCCUAUGCCUGAGCCAUUUUCCUAAUCAAAUUCUAAAGAAGGACAAAUGAGAUGAGGACGAGUUCCCAUAAUCACUACUACACAUAUGACCUUUUGCAACAUCUUAUAUGUGACAUUUUUUAAAAAGUGUUACAUCACUACAACAAUUAUUUUUCAAUAUUAUAAAAAUAACAUUUAAACUUCAGAUUUAUUUCACCCGAAAAAGGUUUUUUAAUACUAUUUAAUUAGUUUAACUUUUAUAGAUUUAUAGAACUUUAUUUUUCAUUUCAGAUAUCUCUCUCAUAGAAUCACUUUUCUCAGAAGGGCUUUAUCCCAAAAUCGCUUUGUCAAAAUUGCUUAAUCAAAAUCUCUUCAUGACAUCUCCUCAUCAGUUUCAUUUCAAUCACACUCACAUCUUCAUCACAAUCGCUCCUCUUCGCAAUCCCUUCAUCGAAAUUGUUCUGGUUAACUUCUUCAUCGCAAUCUCAUUCUGUUCCAAUCGCUGAGUAAGAUUUUGGAUUUUUUGGGUUAAUUCUUCUGAUUUGAUGAGGUAAUUUUUGAUGUUUAAGUUAAGGUGAUGUGAUAAUAAAUCCAAUUUAUAACUUGAUAUUUCUAGGUUUAUUUGAUUUGAUUUGAUUUUAAGUUGAUUAUUAACUUUGGUUAAGAAAUUUACUUUUCUAGGUUAAGUUGAUUCUGAUUUGAUGCAGUUGACAUUUUCUAAGUUAAGUUGAUUCUGAUUUUUGAUGUAAUUGAGAUUUUAUCGAAUUCGGUAACCACCGCCAUCAGAGCAUCAAGAAUGCAGCGACAUUGAACUUCCAAUUGCAGUUGAAGCUUGUUCAUUAUUCUUUAGCAAGGUAUUAUUGUGCUGCCUAUCAGGUGUUCGAUAAUUUGACGCAAUGAAAUUUGACUAUGUUUUGCAAUUGUGUGCUUAUUUAGGAAAGAGGACUGGAUGGUAGAAGUAGAACUUUUUGUAAAAACAUAUGCUUAUUUACUUAUUUAUAGAUUUCUCAAUUGGGAUUAUGAUGCCUAAGGAAGCUAUUUGUUCCUAAAUUAUGUUUUGCCUUUUGAGACUAUUGUGUUUUGUUGUUUACCAUUUAAUCUACCAUAUUAGGUGGCUUAAUCUUUGUUUUUGAAUUAUUUGCAGAUCUGCCAAUGACUUCAAGCGUGAUUGAUGGCUUGCACCAAGAUGGGAACAGUGGCAUCUGAGGUAUAAACUUCCACUUUGAUUGGUUUUAAAAUGAUUCCUUUUACUAUGUGCAUGGUCCAAUGCUCAUCUUUCUUUCCAAGUUAUUUGCAAAUAUUGCAAAUGUUAAUGUUCCAUUGUCAUGAAGUGAUUGAUAAAACAGUUCAAUUUCAAUCUCAGUCUUGGUGUCGCUAAGCCAAUGAAAUGAGAUACUGCAUUCUUUGUGAAUCAAUGCUUGUUUGAGUCCUUUCUGCCAGGGACUUGUUUUGUAGCCUAGAGGUACCAUUCUUCCCUUCCUUAGACUACAACUGUCAUGACAUUUUUCUCUCCCUCCCUUAGUUCAUUAAUUUUUACAUGUUGUUUUUCUUGAGUUUUCCUAUGCUUUAGUUUAAUAUAUUGCUAUUACUUACUAAUAUGUCUGCUAGUUUUUUGCAGGAUUCAGAAAAAGAGGUACAAGUCAUCUAUUUGGUGAAAGUAUAUGUGAUUUUGGCAUGUCCUGCGUUGGGAAGAUAUAUCAAUAGAUGUUUCCCUAUUCCUACCAUCAAAGUUACUUGUGAGUAUUAUAUUUGAUCCACUCUGUCACAUGAAUAAUUAUUAAUGAGUUUAUUCUAUUUAUCAGCUUGAGUCUAUUACAAGAAAAUAGCUUGCUUGACACUUCACAGUAACAUAGAUCAUUGUAAGUUCUAAUUAUUUAGGGGACACAUGAUUUCGCUAAAGAACAAAUGACUAUUAGAAAGAAAGCAUUUUCAGUAAUGGUAGAAGUUUUUGAGAGACAUGGCGCCACAACCUUGCAUACACCUGUCUUUGAAUUGAGAGAAGCUCUCAUAGGAAAAUAUGGAGAAAUCUCAAAGUUGGUUUAUGAUAUUGCUGAUAAGGUUUUAUCGGUUAUUUACUUCUUAACUACUUAAGUUGUUUUAAGAAUAUUUGGGAGAAAUAUUUUUUUACAGCAUUCAAAUAAAUGAAAUUUUUUAACAUUUUUUUCUCUAUAAGUGAAACAAGUUGUUCAUGAAUCUAGAUUUCUGCUUUUUAAGCCAGACUGCCAUUAAGGAUUUUGAGGUUGUUAGAAUUUUGACUUAAUUAGUUGAUGAGCUGAACAUUGGUGAUUUGGAGGUAAACUUUUAUAACAUUCCUGCUACAAAAAUUAUUGGUUUUCUGAAUUUGUAGAACCAUUUAGACUGUUUCCCGAGUUCAUGAUUUGAUAUAUCUAUAUCUGUAAUUUUUCAUAGUCUGUCUAUACUUAUUUUGUGAGCAUUAAUUAACAUAGCACAAUAUCAGAAUAUGUAUUCUUCCCUGGAACCAUCGAUCGGAUUAUCAUGGUAUCUGGUGCAAUCAAAUGAAGUACUAAGAGCUGACAGCUAUAGAGCUCAUUAUUUCAAAGUUGCUUAGUGGGGUAAUAACCAUGAUAUUGAUUCAAUUAGUUACUAGAAUAAAAAAUAUGAUAUUGAUUCAAUUAGUUACUAGAAUAAAAAAUGUCUUGCAUUGCUGGCUUUUGAGCCUAAUUUCCUUGUGUUACGUUUUUGAAGGAUGGCUGAACAAAUUCCACACGGUGUUGCUCAAAGCCUCAUUAACGGGUUAAUUCAUUUUCAACCCUUUAUCAAUUUUUUUCUUCUUUUAAAGUUAAACUAGUUAAACCAAUGAUAUAUAUAAUACAAGCUUGUUUGCUGACAUUUUUCUUUUCAUAGGUUGGCUUCUGUUGCCUUACGUGAAUUUGGAAGGAUUAAUAAUGUGAAAGAUGAAUUAGAAAGUCUUACGAAGACAGUUGAAUCCAUCAGAGCUGCGCUCCUUGAUGCUGAGAACAAACAAGAGAAAAGUCUUUGUGUACAAAACUGGGUUACAAGGCUCAAAGAUGUGCUUGUUGCUGCAGAUGAUUUGAUAGAUGAAUUUCUCCUUGAUACUUUUGGUGCUUUUAACUACAGUUUGUCUAUAUUAGGAAUUGAUUUCAAUUUAUGUAUAGUGAUCUUAAUAUUAAUAAGAAUUUGAGAUUGAAUCAAUUGUUUGUGUUUUACUGAUUGAUCUACCCAGUCUUCACUAUUAAGUAACAUUUAUGCAACAGAAUUUUCAGCGAUUCCAAUUAAAACUGUUAGCUACAGAUUGGCUACUAAUUAGCUUCAAAUUAGUAACAUUUAUGUAACAGAAUUUCUGCAAUUGCAACCUAAACUGUUAGCUAUAGAUUGGCUACAAAUUUGCUACUAAUUAGCUACUAAAUGAGUAACAAUUUUUAGGUGCUGCAAGUUUUACUCUCAAAUGUUACUGAAAUCAUUUAGUAACACGGGCUUUACCUAACAUUUGUCAAAUGUUACAAGAUCUAAAUAGUAACAGUUGUUUUUGAUUUAGUUACAAUUUUGAAGUGUUACUAAAUCUUAUAUAUGUAGUAGUGAAUCAAUGGCUACAAGAUGAUUUCGAGCAUGGUGGAAGAGCUGUAACUUUCCUAUUCUAAAUGGCAUCCUAAAUAGUUAUAACAAUUUAGCAUAUCCAAAGUUCAAACAAGCAAACUUGUGCGUAUUUACACCAAAAGUUUUAGCUUUCAAAAAAACCAGAGGACGUAAACGUAGGAUUAAAUAUUUGUAGCAACUUUACACAAAUCUAUCCUAAAAUUCUAACAGAGAGAUGGCAGGAUGUACUCAGAUUGAUCUGCCAGACCAAAAGGAGCGUAAGGCAUAGCCCCUUUCCUACAGCAACGGUUGAUAAUUCCCUUCCACUUUAUGUAGAAAUAUAUUAGAAAGCUGAAUCUAUAUUGCCACAAAUGCCACUGUUGUAGAAUUCUUUAGGACAUUUAUUUGCAUAACAAUUAGAUUUGGGAAGUUUGUGUAUUUCAAUUUCAUUGUUACCUACCUAGCUAUAAUAGAAUUCAAUUUACAAUACCUCUUAUUGGGAAGAUUCAGAAUAAUAAUUAGCAUAAAUAAUCAAGUAUUUGUACUUUUGUAGUGUUGAUUGCUUACAAUAAAAUAUCCAGAUUCACUGUUGUAACUGCAUCACACGGUUGAAUGCAGAAUAUACUGUGAGCCAAUAAUUUUAUAUCAAACAACUCGACGACACAUUCACCAAAUUGGCUUAGAUUAGGCAGUCAACAUCAGUGACUUUAACAUGACAAGGUAUUCGAUUCCACAUAACAUCUAGCAUUACUAGCGUCACAUUUCAAAAUAAAUGUACACAUAAAGAUGACAUACAAUCCCUUAUCUGAAGUUGUAUUUGAGCUGAAUUUCACAAUUCGUAUCAAACUAGGUCACCAGUCUGACAGCAAUUCGAGUUUCGUUCGCAUGGAAGAGUUGCAUUAUUGUAUGUUUACUGCAAAAGGUAUGCAUUUUCACAAAUACUAUCAUCCAUGUUAUAGCAACUCAACAUAGAAGCGAUCGAACCUCUUAAUGGUCCAAUUUGUCAAAACACCGCUGCAGAAUGAAUACCUAGGAANUCGAAAACGGGUUAACGGUUUGAUUUUUAGGCGCGAAAACGUGAAGGGUGAAAAUCUGAUGCUGUCGAAAUCAUGAGGCGAUUCUAGUGAUCAUGAGGCGAUUUCGACAAAAAAUCUGUAAUUUUAGUAUGUUUGAUGCUGUCGAAAUCAUGAGGCGAUUCUAGUGAUCAUGACAGAAAAUCUGUAAUUUUAGUAUGUCUGAUGCUGUCGAAAUCAUGAGGCGAUUCUAGUGAUCAUGAGGCGAUUUUGACAGAAAAAUCUGUCAUUUUAGUAUGUCUGAUGCUGUCUUACCAGAAACCUUAAAAAUGCAAUUCUCUUCACUCCAAAUAUUUCCAGACUUCUUCUUAAGUGUAGGAACUUUAUCCUAAUCAUCUAGAGAUGUUUUUUAGGAAGGAGAUAACCUUGUAUAAAGGGUCUAAUGAGUUCAUGAGUUGGUCUUUAGGGUAGGAAUGGUAGUUGUUUACAAUAUUAAUGAUAAUCUAUGAAGCUGUUUUAGGAUGUGUUGAUGUUGAUUAUGAUGUCGUACUUAUUACUUGAAUUAUGAAUGUAUAUUUGAGAUGUUGUUGAAUUACAUUUGAUAUUAUUAUGUCAUGUUGUUUUGUAUACUGUUGUGUCGCUGUUGUUAUUUAACUAAGCUGCAUGAGUCGGUCUAAGUUAAUUAAGAUGAUGAGGUUCCAAAGCAUUGGAUUAUAUAAGAGGUUGUGGAUUUAAGAUGUUUAAGAGGUCGAGUCCAUGCAUUAGCAUUUCAUUGUUGGGGCUUGAUGCCCUGGAGCCUUUGCUCAAUUAAGUUGAGGGCUUGAUGCCCUUUGAGCCUUUUUACGCUCAAAUAAAGUUGAGGGUUUGAUGCCCUGGGAGCCUAUUUACGCUCAAAUACGUUGGGGGCUUNUACAAAUUUGCUACUAAUUAGCUACUAAAUGAGUAACAAUUUUUAGGUGCUGCAAGUUUUACUCUCAAAUGUUACUGAAAUCAUUUAGUAACACGGGCUUUACCUAACAUUUGUCAAAUGUUACAAGAUCUAAAUAGUAACAGUUGUUUUUGAUUUAGUUACAAUUUUGAAGUGUUACUAAAUCUUAUAUAUGUAGUAGUGAAUCAAUGGCUACAAGAUGAUUUCGAGCAUGGUGGAAGAGCUGUAACUUUCCUAUUCUAAAUGGCAUCCUAAAUAGUUAUAACAAUUUAGCAUAUCCAAAGUUCAAACAAGCAAACUUGUGCGUAUUUACACCAAAAGUUUUAGCUUUCAAAAAAACCAGAGGACGUAAACGUAGGAUUAAAUAUUUGUAGCAACUUUACACAAAUCUAUCCUAAAAUUCUAACAGAGAGAUGGCAGGAUGUACUCAGAUUGAUCUGCCAGACCAAAAGGAGCGUAAGGCAUAGCCCCUUUCCUACAGCAACGGUUGAUAAUUCCCUUCCACUUUAUGUAGAAAUAUAUUAGAAAGCUGAAUCUAUAUUGCCACAAAUGCCACUGUUGUAGAAUUCUUUAGGACAUUUAUUUGCAUAACAAUUAGAUUUGGGAAGUUUGUGUAUUUCAAUUUCAUUGUUACCUACCUAGCUAUAAUAGAAUUCAAUUUACAAUACCUCUUAUUGGGAAGAUUCAGAAUAAUAAUUAGCAUAAAUAAUCAAGUAUUUGUACUUUUGUAGUGUUGAUUGCUUACAAUAAAAUAUCCAGAUUCACUGUUGUAACUGCAUCACACGGUUGAAUGCAGAAUAUACUGUGAGCCAAUAAUUUUAUAUCAAACAACUCGACGACACAUUCACCAAAUUGGCUUAGAUUAGGCAGUCAACAUCAGUGACUUUAACAUGACAAGGUAUUCGAUUCCACAUAACAUCUAGCAUUACUAGCGUCACAUUUCAAAAUAAAUGUACACAUAAAGAUGACAUACAAUCCCUUAUCUGAAGUUGUAUUUGAGCUGAAUUUCACAAUUCGUAUCAAACUAGGUCACCAGUCUGACAGCAAUUCGAGUUUCGUUCGCAUGGAAGAGUUGCAUUAUUGUAUGUUUACUGCAAAAGGUAUGCAUUUUCACAAAUACUAUCAUCCAUGUUAUAGCAACUCAACAUAGAAGCGAUCGAACCUCUUAAUGGUCCAAUUUGUCAAAACACCGCUGCAGAAUGAAUACCUAGGAAAGGGUCUUGCUAGCAAGGAUCUGAUGCCAAGACGAAUGAAAGUAUGGAACUUGGAACUGGGCGAGGUGAUAUCUCUUUUUGAACUGACUCAAUGGAGAUUUACUGGAAAUUUUUACCAAGUUCUUGAUUGUGCCAAUGUCCUAUAAUGCAUACUGGUGUAUAGGUGUCAUGAGUUAAAGCUUCAAUAUAUUUCAACUUACAAUUACAUUAGAUUGAAGCAACCAAUUUUUCCUUUUUUAGAAUGAAUGUUGGUUGAAUGUUUUUAUUGUUUUACAUCAACGGGAAGGCAUUGUAUUAGAUUCUUGGGUAUAAAAAGAUGCAUUAUGCAGUCUCAGUAUGCCAUACUUAUUUAAUAGAGAAGUCUAAUACAUGUUUAUUACAAACAUCAAAAUAAAUCAUAAGUCUGAAUGACUCGUAAUGAAUUAUAUCUUAAAUUAGACAUCAACAUACACAAAGAACUAGUAUAUAGUGCAUCAAAAAUGGAGGAAGAAUGUAAGCGAAUACUCUUUCAAAUUUUCGAUACACGGUAAAAAAAAUGUAAGUCUUAAAGCAAAGAAAUGCAAGUUAUAGAUAGCAAAUUCUUAAUGAAGUUACAUUUACAAACAUUGCACUUAGGCUUUCAAUUAAUCUAUAGAGUUGAAAAGAACAUCAUAAACCCGGUCGAUAUUAUCACCACUCGCCAACUCCCAACACAUAUCAAAGCCAAACACCAACAUUUUCUAGAUAAGGAAACUAAACAAACAUAUUUCUCUAAUCUCUAUAAGGAUUGGGAUUGUGUGAUUUUGUGGAAAAACAGUCACCCAAAAUAAAGACAAACCUUGUCCCUCUUCUAUAUUACUCUCUCUCUCAUCUUUCUUAUCAUUUCUCUUUCAUUUUUCUCUCUUAUAAAACACUUUAAAAUACAUUAAAGUCACCAUAAUUUUUUAUCUACAAAGUCACAAUCUCAAUCCCGGAUUAUCCAAUGUCACUUCGAAAUAAUCUUGAGAAGAGAAUUCCAACACUCUAAAGGUAGAAAUAAAAUGUAUAGUUAUCAGUGUUAUCCGUGUUGAUUUCAUCUAUGAUUAAAUAGCUUCAAUAUAUCCAACAAAUCAAAUAAAAAAAGAGGCAAAGAACAAAACCUCAUAAGUCCUCUUUUUUCUUUUCUUUUUCUAACUAAAUACAGUUAUCAAUUCUCUUCCUAUAACUCCCCUUUUUCCACUUAUCCAAAAAUCCCUACUCUACAAAGAAUAUGAUGAAGACUAAAAAAUCAAUUUGUACAAAGCUAACCAAAACAAAUGACAAAUUUCUAAACAAAAGUACCAAUAAUUACAACAAAAAAAAAACAUGAGCAUAUCCAACCAAAAUAAAUGAGAAAGAAGAAAAAUCAGUAAAAUCAAGCAGAUGAAAAUAAUUCAGAAACAUGGAAGAAAACUAUGUAGUGGAUAUCAGCUAAGAAGGAAGAGAAAAACAAUUUCACGUCAAUUCCUUAUUAAUGAAACAAUUUCUUUCAUAUUUCUGCAAACACUUGUAUUGAUAUUUAUGAGAUAACGUGACAUUUUUCAUACAAAAAUUAACAAAUACUCCAAGUUUUCACACUUACGUAUAAGAAAUAAAUUUACGGAAGUGUAAUAUUUAAGAGUGUUUUUAUUUACUUUGUCUAGAUAUAUAUCAAACAAUAUUUUAUAAGUCCUUAUCAAAUAGUUCAAGGGUUUUCUAUGCAAUAAUCAUACACCGGCAUGUUAGGCACCUAUGAAAUGAAUUCAAAACUUGUAUGCAAGAAGGACGAAAACCACUAAUUGCAGUAAAUAUUUAAAGCAAAUAAAUAACUUUAUUCAUUGUAAUUUCAUGUAACGUUGAAAUUGAAUCAGUUGGAGACUGACUCUAAGUUAAUGUUGAUGCCAUUUUCUAACAAUUCUCUAUUCUAAUACCUAAGUAACAAUACAUGCUUAAUUUUAAAAAAUUACUUUUUUGGCAUGAAUUUUGUGUUGUGAUUUUUUUUCAUAAGGGAAAUCAACAUUCCCUUGCAAACAUAGUUUUGUCAUUGCAUUAUUUAUUUGGGAAACAGUUCCUCCUUUCCUUUCCAGUCAAGUUGUUAAGGAAAAACUAGGUAUUUUAGAAUUAUUUCUUUGGAGAGUUUUAACCUAGUCCCCCUCUUUUUGUAUAUUUUUCUUUUUUAAAAGUUUAGAUGUCCACAGCCCAUGCUAUCACUUACGGUAAAAAAAAAAGUGUAACGUUGAAAUUCAAAGAAAUAAAUAGAAUUUGAGAAAUGUUAACGAGUACCCACUACACUCUUUAAAGACCUUCAAUAAUAUGUACGAAAAUUCGUGUAUUCAAUACAUUGUCAUUGGUAAAUAUUUGACUUUUUGAAUGAAUAAUUUUUAAAUUUGGCAUAGUGUUUUUUUUUUUUCGACCAUAAAUUUGGCACAGUGCUAUGAAGCACUAAACCCAUAAAAAUUUAUACAAAAAUGAAGGCAACAUUAAGCUAUGAAAAAUUGAAAAUAGAGGGGGUAACAACAAUAACAUAGAAUGAAACUAUUUUAAAUUAUCAAUAAGGAAUAUUUUAGAAAUUCCAAAAAGUAAAGCAGCCUGUUAUUUUUAUUUUUUCAAUUUGAUCAUUUUUGUUAUAAAAUGUCUAUAUUGUAUCAUUUUUUAUAGUAUUUUUUCAAUGACAUCCGAGUUUUUAAGUUUGUAUGAUGAAGAUUUGAGUUUGUUUAUGAGUUUGUUGAUUUUUUUUAGUUUUUUAUUUUUAUUAUAAAAAAUGAUAACGAUGUUUACAUUUUAUAACAUAAUGAUUGAAUCGNNNNNNNNNNNNNNNNNNNNNNNNNNNNNNNNNNNNNNNNNNNNNNNNNNNNNNNNNNNNNNNNNNNNNNNNNNNNNNNNNNNNNNNNNNNNNNNNNNNNNNNNNNNNNNNNNNNNNNNNNNNNNNNNNNNNNNNNNNNNNNNNNNNNNNNNNNNNNNNNNNNNNNNNNNNNNNNNNNNNNNNNNNNNNNNNNNNNNNNNNNNNNNNNNNNNNNNNNNNNNNNNNNNNNNNNNNNNNNNNNNNNNNNNNNNNNNNNNNNNNNNNNNNNNNNNNNNNNNNNNNNNNNNNNNNNNNNNNNNNNNNNNNNNNNNNNNNNNNNNNNNNNNNNNNNNNNNNNNNNNNNNNNNNNNNNNNNNNNNNNNNNNNNNNNNNNNNNNNNNNNNNNNNNNNNNNNNNNNNNNNNNNNNNNNNNNNNNNNNNNNNNNNNNNNNNNNNNNNNNNNNNNNNNNNNNNNNNNNNNNNNNNNNNNNNNNNNNNNNNNNNNNNNNNNNNNNNNNNNNNNNNNNNNNNNNNNNNNNNNNNNNNNNNNNNNNNNNNNNNNNNNNNNNNNNNNNNNNNNNNNNNNNNNNNNNNNNNNNNNNNNNNNNNNNNNNNNNNNNNNNNNNNNNNNNNNNNNNNNNNNNNNNNNNNNNNNNNNNNNNNNNNNNNNNNNNNNNNNNNNNNNNNNNNNNNNNNNNNNNNNNNNNNNNNNNNNNNNNNNNNNNNNNNNNNNNNNNNNNNNNNNNNNNNNNNNNNNNNNNNNNNNNNNNNNNNNNNNNNNNNNNNNNNNNNNNNNNNNNNNNNNNNNNNNNNNNNNNNNNNNNNNNNNNNNNNNNNNNNNNNNNNNNNNNNNNNNNNNNNNNNNNNNNNNNNNNNNNNNNNNNNNNNNNNNNNNNNNNNNNNNNNNNNNNNNNNNNNNNNNNNNNNNNNNNNNNNNNNNNNNNNNNNNNNNNNNNNNNNNNNNNNNNNNNNNNNNNNNNNNNNNNNNNNNNNNNNNNNNNNNNNNNNNNNNNNNNNNNNNNNNNNNNNNNNNNNNNNNNNNNNNNNNNNNNNNNNNNNNNNNNNNNNNNNNNNNNNNNNNNNNNNNNNNNNNNNNNNNNNNNNNNNNNNNNNNNNNNNNNNNNNNNNNNNNNNNNNNNNNNNNNNNNNNNNNNNNNNNNNNNNNNNNNNNNNNNNNNNNNNNNNNNNNNNNNNNNNNNNNNNNNNNNNNNNNNNNNNNNNNNNNNNNNNNNNNNNNNNNNNNNNNNNNNNNNNNNNNNNNNNNNNNNNNNNNNNNNNNNNNNNNNNNNNNNNNNNNNNNNNNNNNNNNNNNNNNNNNNNNNNNNNNNNNNNNNNNNNNNNNNNNNNNNNNNNNNNNNNNNNNNNNNNNNNNNNNNNNNNNNNNNNNNNNNNNNNNNNNNNNNNNNNNNNNNNNNNNNNNNNNNNNNNNNNNNNNNNNNNNNNNNNNNNNNNNNNNNNNNNNNNNNNNNNNNNNNNNNNNNNNNNNNNNNNNNNNNNNNNNNNNNNNNNNNNNNNNNNNNNNNNNNNNNNNNNNNNNNNNNNNNNNNNNNNNNNNNNNNNNNNNNNNNNNNNNNNNNNNNNNNNNNNNNNNNNNNNNNNNNNNNNNNNNNNNNNNNNNNNNNNNNNNNNNNNNNNNNNNNNNNNNNNNNNNNNNNNNNNNNNNNNNNNNNNNNNNNNNNNNNNNNNNNNNNNNNNNNNNNNNNNNNNNNNNNNNNNNNNNNNNNNNNNNNNNNNNNNNNNNNNNNNNNNNNNNNNNNNNNNNNNNNNNNNNNNNNNNNNNNNNNNNNNNNNNNNNNNNNNNNNNNNNNNNNNNNNNNNNNNNNNNNNNNNNNNNNNNNNNNNNNNNNNNNNNNNNNNNNNNNNNNNNNNNNNNNNNNNNNNNNNNNNNNNNNNNNNNNNNNNNNNNNNNNNNNNNNNNNNNNNNNNNNNNNNNNNNNNNNNNNNNNNNNNNNNNNNNNNNNNNNNNNNNNNNNNNNNNNNNNNNNNNNNNNNNNNNNNNNNNNNNNNNNNNNNNNNNNNNNNNNNNNNNNNNNNNNNNNNNNNNNNNNNNNNNNNNNNNNNNNNNNNNNNNNNNNNNNNNNNNNNNNNNNNNNNNNNNNNNNNNNNNNNNNNNNNNNNNNNNNNNNNNNNNNNNNNNNNNNNNNNNNNNNNNNNNNNNNNNNNNNNNNNNNNNNNNNNNNNNNNNNNNNNNNNNNNNNNNNNNNNNNNNNNNNNNNNNNNNNNNNNNNNNNNNNNNNNNNNNNNNNNNNNNNNNNNNNNNNNNNNNNNNNNNNNNNNNNNNNNNNNNNNNNNNNNNNNNNNNNNNNNNNNNNNNNNNNNNNNNNNNNNNNNNNNNNNNNNNNNNNNNNNNNNNNNNNNNNNNNNNNNNNNNNNNNNNNNNNNNNNNNNNNNNNNNNNNNNNNNNNNNNNNNNNNNNNNNNNNNNNNNNNNNNNNNNNNNNNNNNNNNNNNNNNNNNNNNNNNNNNNNNNNNNNNNNNNNNNNNNNNNNNNNNNNNNNNNNNNNNNNNNNNNNNNNNNNNNNNNNNNNNNNNNNNNNNNNNNNNNNNNNNNNNNNNNNNNNNNNNNNNNNNNNNNNNNNNNNNNNNNNNNNNNNNNNNNNNNNNNNNNNNNNNNNNNNNNNNNNNNNNNNNNNNNNNNNNNNNNNNNNNNNNNNNNNNNNNNNNNNNNNNNNNNNNNNNNNNNNNNNNNNNNNNNNNNNNNNNNNNNNNNNNNNNNNNNNNNNNNNNAUUGUUUUGUGAAAUCUCACCCCUUCUGCUUGGAAAUGUUGUUCUUCGUAUGAGUAACUUGCAGGUGAUCGAGUUUAAGUUGCUGUUAGAUUGCUGUCAUGAGUGGAUUAGCUCUCAUGUGUGUCUUUAGGUGCUCUGAUACGUAACGGGAUGAGAAUUUUAUUGUUGUCUUUCUAUUCCUUACGUAUUGUUUUAAGAAGAUUUAUGACUAUGUUUUUAGAUUGGAUUUUAUGAGAUAUUUAUUGAUGAGAUCUUUGUGCCAAAGACUGUUUUAAUUAUUGAAUAAAUUCUGCUGCGAAGUAUUAAAGAUUUUGUUAUUGAAUUUUAAAGGAUAAAUAGUUAUUUAUUCAGUUUAUGAUUUUAAGAAAAGAAUGUGACAUUCCGUUUAUGUGAAUACUCUGAUUAUUUUUAUGAAAUUUUUAUGUUGUGAAAACGGGGUGUUACAGUUUGUAUGGCACACAAGAGGAUCAUAGCUUGAUAAAUAGACAGGAUUAAAAUUUGAUAAUUAUAUCAACUAUCUUAAUUAUUACUAUGUACUACUAAGUUCAAUAAUACCAUACACAAAUUAACUUAGGAUAGCUCAUAAUAUUCCAUAACUCAGAUUACACAUAACCAAUUAACCUGGUCAUAGAUAGAACUUCAAAGAUCAAACAUGACAAAUUGCGCAUAUACAGCUUUCAAUAGUCAUCGCAAAUCUGUUCAAAUAAACCAAAAGAAUUGGAAGCAAUAGUUCAGGUAAUUUUACACAAAUCUUUUCUAGAUUCCAACAGAGACAGCCAAAUGUACUCACACAAGGAGAUUUCAAGAUAGGGUCUAUUACUCCUUCUAGAGCGACAGAUUGCUCCGACGGACCAAAAUGAAUGGACAGCAUGGUGCAUUUUCCAGGCCAAUAGUCAAUAAUCUAUAUCACCACAUUGAUCCAACCGAUUAGAGGGAGUGGAACUGAAAGGCAUGGUACAUUUCCCACGCCAACAGUCCAUAAUCAAUUUCGAAAUUUAGUUGUCUGAUUCGAUAUAUGCAAAAAUCUUCACAACAUUUAUAUAUUAAAAUGCAAUUGUUGUAAAGUUCUGCAAGACAUUUAUUUGUUGUGAUUGGAUUGAGAUUUUAAAAGACUGUUUUGAUAGAAAAAAUCUUGAAGAUUUUAAAAGACUUUGUUGGAUUGUAUUGAUUUUGUGGGAUUUUAAAAGAUUUUUUUUGAAAGACUUUUUACAAUCAAGAUUCUUUGCAAGAUUUUAAUGGAUUCAUGAUAUAGAUUUUAAAGGAUUUUAAUGGAUUUUAAAGAUUUUAAAAGGGUCAAUAAAUUUAAAAAUACAGUACAGACAAAAAAAUCUCAAAAACAAAAGUACAUUAUAAAUCAACCGAAAAAAAAAACAUUGAAUCAAUGAGUGUAAUAUUUCUUCAAAAAAAAGACUAUUAGAUAAUAUACUACUAACAGGUUGAUUGAUCUUAAAAAUUCUAGACAUAUGAUAUCAAAAUAAAUAGACCUAAAAAUAAGUUAUGUUAGUUUAUUGAUUAUAAUAAUUUGAUUGAAAAAUGCAUGUUACAUGUAGAAAAAUGCAAGUAGAAAAAUUAUUAUAAUACCAAUGAACGUAAAGUUGUGAUUUUUAUAAUAAUUUGAUAUAUAGGUAGAUGGUAAAUUAACCACAAGAUUAUACAGUACAUUCUUUUUUUUAAUGAACGUAAAAGUUAUGUUAAGAAAAGUGCAAGUUAGAGGCAUGAUGAUUUCGACAAUAAGUUUGCCAAACAAAAUAUAUGACCUGCCAUUGUUAUAGUAGAACAGAAAAGAAUUUGGAUGAAACGUAAAAAAAAAAAUGAAUUUGGAAGAGUAUUACAAAAUCUCAAGGCUAUGUGUUGGAGAUAGAAAAGUCUCAAGGCUAGGUGUGAGAUUGUUAGUAGGUACAUUUUACACUAAACAAUCUCACAAAAUUCAUUACUCACAACAAUCCAUUAAAAUCCGUAGAGUUUUGAAUACCAGUAGACAAUUUUUAAGUUAUGCAAAAUCUUAAUUGAAUACCACUGAAUUUCAUUGGACUCGUUAAAAAAUCUUGAAAAUCCUAAUUGAAUACCACAAGAAUGUUUUACAUUCCUUAAAAAUCUUGAUUGAAUACCACAAGACUUUUAUAAAAUAAAAAAGUCUUUUAAAAUCCUUUGAAAUCUCAAUCCAAUACACCCCUUGAAAAAUUUGUGUAUUUCAAUUUACAAUGCCUUUACUGGGAAGAUUUAAGAUAUAAUUAGCACAAAUAAUCAAAUAUUUUAAGUGUUGAUUGCUUAACAUAACAUGAUCCAAAUUCACUAUUGUAACUCCAUCAGAUAAUCAAUGAUUUGAUAUCAGACAACUUAGAUUACACCUUUACUAUAUCAGUAAGAUUAGGCGGUCAAAAAUGCAAUUACUGCAGUGUAUCCGAUUCCACAUAACAUCUAGCAUCACUGUUGUCUCAUUUCAAAAUAAUUUGCUAAUAUUACUCUUUCUCCAGAGGGGAUGAUGAAGGGGAGUAAGGUCACAGAUAUCUUGAGAUUCAAGUUUUAGUAAAUUUGCAAUUGUGAUUAAAUUUAAAUGUAUAUAACGUGGCCAUCAAGUUUAGCUGAAAUUAACAAAUGUACACAUAAAAAUGGUAAGUUUACAUAAAAAUGCAAAUUCUUUUCCUUGAUUAUUCACAGUAUAUAUAGACAUAAUGAAGAGCUAUUCGUAAGAUUCACAGUCCUUGUACUGAGAUGAAAAAGCAAAUAAAUGAAUCAACAAAUGACACUAUAUGUUCUUCUUGAUGGAACCUGGAAGACAUGCACCCGACGUAUUGUUAAAAAAUCUUGUACUUCUUGCAAUAAAGAUCAUCCACAAUCAGUUAGCUGAGUUGUAUUUGAGCUGACUUGCACAAUUUGUAUCGGACUAGGUCACAAGUAGAACAGCAGCUUGAGUUUAACGAAUACAAUCAUAUAUGCAAGCAACACAACAUAAAUGUGAACAUCUUCAUGCUCCAAUUUGUCAAAACGCCACUGCAUAUUGAACGACGAGGAAAGGAUCUCAACAGCAAGGAUCCGAUGCAAAGACAAAUAUGAAAGAGUGGAACUUGGGAAUGAGAAGAUGAUUUCUCAAACUGAACAGAACUCAACGUAGAUUUACUCGAAAAGUUUAAAAUAUAUUUUUGAUUGUGUCAAUGUCCUUUAAUGUUCCCCAUUCAAAGCCAUUGCUAAGCCGAUCAUAAACACAGUUGCAGACUAUGAAGCACAGACACAGACACUCGUAAAAAUUUAAGAAAUUGGUAUAAUUAAAUGUAACCCUAACAAUCAGUGCUGUGUUAGAGAUCGGACAACCUUCAACAGAUGAUUAACCUUACACCACUUGAUUGUCCUAGCUUGUGAUGAAAACCACCGAGUCAAUUGCAUAAAAAAAUGCCAAUGUUCUUCAAUGCAAUGACUACGAGACGAUUACAUUAAAAAUGCCAAGCAAUGCAAAACCACUGAGAAAUUCUGAUUUUCAUGGAAGAUAUUGCUUCAUCCAAUAUAAAGUCAAAUUAAUAUUUGAAUGAAUCCAAGAAAAGUCCCAAUGUAAGGCCAGCUUUCCAAUAAUUAAACACCGAUAUUAGGCUUUUGGUAAAUAAAGGAAGAGAAGCACUGUACAUGAGAGCACCAAUGCCUUCCGCAACAACAACAGCUAAGGCAGCAGAUAGAAUAUCCCAAUCACCAGUUUGUCCAAUAACAGUGGAAAAGGCAGUUGCACAAUAAAAUCCAACCAAGAAGAAAAGAAGCUUCAUUGGAAGAUUUUUCUUUACCUUCUCAAUUUUAGAACCUAACGUGGUCCGAAAUUCUUGAAUCACUCUAAUUAUACGCGUCCUUCCGUUAGUUCCGUUUGAAGGACUGAAACUGCUGUCGUUUAUGCUGCUUCUCACUGACCAAGUCAUCCUCCUGAUGUUUAAACUUAGCAAUAUAUAAUUCUAUUCAUAAAAUUGACUUUUGAUAUUCAUGCAUAGAGUGCUGAGAGCAAUGUUAUCAAUGGAGGAUGGUAGAAAACAGAGGAGCGCCAAAAGUUUGUUAUGUGAAAUACUGCCUCUGUUUCAAAACACAUGUCGCAAUUCUAUUCAUAAUAUCUGUUAAGUUUCAAUCUUUUGUUCUCAUCAAACUGAGACACUCCUUAAACAACCUACAAAGUUCAAAGAAAAAGGAAAAUGUACCAAAACCAUCAAAAGAGAAAAUGCUAAUUAAAUUUUUUUCAAAAUAUCAUUCUUCAAAAAUUUCAAACUUGACAUUAGAUAUUUACUAAAAUCAAUAAUUGGAUGCGAGUCUAAGCUUAUAGCAUUACAUUUCUUAUGAUAGCAGUAGAUAGAUAAAGAAUUAUGUUGGAGAAAUUUAAUUGUAGACAUACUAGUGUAAAAAUGUCAUUAGUUGAAGCUUCAAUAUACUCCAAUGCACAAUGUAUUUGGUUGAGUAAUGCUCAUUUGACCGAAGAAUGGUUUAUAAUUUCUUUAGUAUUUUAUUUGUUACAUGAAUGGGGACGCAAUGCAUUAGAUUCUUAGUAUUGAAAGAAACAUUAUGGUGUCUCAAUAUGCAUUAAUUUUCUAACUAAAUCCAAUUCUCAAUUGUCUUCCUAUAACUUCCCUCUUUUCACUUAAUCAAAAGAGGAAUGAUAGGAACACUCUCUUCAACAUUCAUUCUCUUAUUGCAUGAAACCAUUGUAUGACCCACCACUUUGAGUGGAAUCCAUUCCCAAAGCAUGCGACUCGUCAUGNNNNNNNNNNNNNNNNNNNNNNNNNNNNNNNNNNNNNNNNNNNNNNNNNNNNNNNNNNNNNNNNNNNNNNNNNNNNNNNNNNNNNNNNNNNNNNNNNNNNNNNNNNNNNNNNNNNNNNNNNNNNNNNNNNNNNNNNNNNNNNNNNNNNNNNNNNNNNNNNNNNNNNNNNNNNNNNNNNNNNNNNNNNNNNNNNNNNNNNNNNNNNNNNNNNNNNNNNNNNNNNNNNNNNNNNNNNNNNNNNNNNNNNNNNNNNNNNNNNNNNNNNNNNNNNNNNNNNNNNNNNNNNNNNNNNNNNNNNNNNNNNNNNNNNNNNNNNNNNNNNNNNNNNNNNNNNNNNNNNNNNNNNNNNNNNNNNNNNNNNNNNNNNNNNNNNNNNNNNNNNNNNNNNNNNNNNNNNNNNNNNNNNNNNNNNNNNNNNNNNNNNNNNNNNNNNNNNNNNNNNNNNNNNNNNNNNNNNNNNNNNNNNNNNNNNNNNNNNNNNNNNNNNNNNNNNNNNNNNNNNNNNNNNNNNNNNNNNNNNNNNNNNNNNNNNNNNNNNNNNNNNNNNNNNNNNNNNNNNNNNNNNNNNNNNNNNNNNNNNNNNNNNNNNNNNNNNNNNNNNNNNNNNNNNNNNNNNNNNNNNNNNNNNNNNNNNNNNNNNNNNNNNNNNNNNNNNNNNNNNNNNNNNNNNNNNNNNNNNNNNNNNNNNNNNNNNNNNNNNNNNNNNNNNNNNNNNNNNNNNNNNNNNNNNNNNNNNNNNNNNNNNNNNNNNNNNNNNNNNNNNNNNNNNNNNNNNNNNNNNNNNNNNNNNNNNNNNNNNNNNNNNNNNNNNNNNNNNNNNNNNNNNNNNNNNNNNNNNNNNNNNNNNNNNNNNNNNNNNNNNNNNNNNNNNNNNNNNNNNNNNNNNNNNNNNNNNNNNNNNNNNNNNNNNNNNNNNNNNNNNNNNNNNNNNNNNNNNNNNNNNNNNNNNNNNNNNNNNNNNNNNNNNNNNNNNNNNNNNNNNNNNNNNNNNNNNNNNNNNNNNNNNNNNNNNNNNNNNNNNNNNNNNNNNNNNNNNNNNNNNNNNNNNNNNNNNNNNNNNNNNNNNNNNNNNNNNNNNNNNNNNNNNNNNNNNNNNNNNNNNNNNNNNNNNNNNNNNNNNNNNNNNNNNNNNNNNNNNNNNNNNNNNNNNNNNNNNNNNNNNNNNNNNNNNNNNNNNNNNNNNNNNNNNNNNNNNNNNNNNNNNNNNNNNNNNNNNNNNNNNNNNNNNNNNNNNNNNNNNNNNNNNNNNNNNNNNNNNNNNNAAAAAAAAAAAAAAAAAAAAACAAGGAAAUAAAAGAUAUAUGCUUCUAAAAUAUGUGAGAAUAACUAUAUUAUUAAAACCCAUGCAAACACGAAAGUGGAUUUGAGCUUUUUCACUAAUUAACAUUUUAGUAGUCACAACCUAAAUUUAUUGUUGAGGAGCAAACAGCGCAAAGCAAAUUUAUUAAUCCAAAUCCAAUGUUUCCGAAAGUCAAGAAAUAACACUAAAAAAUUGAUAUGAAUGUCAAUAAACAAACAUAACGAAUUAUCAUGGCGGGGUCUGGGCUCUGCCAACAACAUAUUACAUCAUGUAUAGGUUCUUUUUUGUUUGACCAAAAAAGCAAGCAUGGUUUGAAAUUCGCAAAGGGAUAAAUUUUGAAACCCUACGAGUCCAGAACAUAUAUAGUUGCAACAUAAUCUGAUACAGAGAUGGGAAAACGAAUUACGAAUUUAUUAGGAUUAUUGAGCUGGUAACUAAGCAAUGAGCAAAGAGAGAAGUGAUGAAGUAUAAUGCACACCACAAACCGAAGAAAGUGGCGAAGACGACCACCGUAGAAAACAUUUAGGCUAGAAAAGGAUCAUCACAUCCCAAUUUUCCAGAACUAAAAGAAAAAUAAAGUAAUUAAUAAAAUAAGGUAAAGAUGGUAAAAAUAAUAAAAUGGAAAAGCGGGACAUCUUGAAGUGGUGAGUUUUUAAUUGAUAUGGUGGUGUAUUGAGAGGAACAAGUGUUUUUUUGCUACUCUUCUUCUCUAUACCCUGUUUUUAUACUAGUAAAUUCUAGAUUAUAGUCCACUUUUUGAUGAAGAAAAUGCCAAAAUUAAACGAGUAUUGUCUGUUUGGUAGAAUAACUGAAGAAUCAUACUUCUCACAUGUUAGUAGAGGUAGCGAGCAUAACAAAAUUGAUAUUUAUGAUUUUUUUUUAUUUUUUUUUGGGUAAUGUGAGUGUGACUGGAGGGAAAGAGUAUGUGUAAACGGCUCAAAAAUAGAAUGUGCACCAUACUCACAAACAAGAAUCCAAUGCCAUGCUCCAUGUGCUAAUUCAAAUUCAAAAGAAGAACAUAUGAGAUGAGGAUGAGUUUUGGUAAUAAAAGGGUUUUGGUGAUAGCUUUGGUCCAAAAUGAAAAUGUGUCAAUGGAAGGAUAAGAAACUAGAUUAAUUACUCCCUCGAUCCCUAAUCAAAAUAGAACAUACAUACUCACAAACAUGGUAUGCCUGACCCAUGUUCCUAAUCAUAUUCUAAAGAAGAUUAAUAUUGACUCUUCGGUCAGGUUACCUUAAAAAAAAACUCAUUCGGUUAAGUUUGAAUCCAUGACCUUCAAUACUUUAUCCCUUUAGCCUAAGCCAUUGAUCAGAAUGUCACAAUGUUGACCCCCCCUUUGAGCAGAUAUACCACGACCAACUUGCAGUUAAUUAGCUUGCAAAACUCAAUCUUAUAAAACUCACUCUUUUAAAACCCGGAUCUUAGACAUAUAUGUCCACAAAUUUUAAAGUUAUUUAAACAUUGAACCAUAUAGAAUAGGGGUGGCAAUUAGACCCAGGCUCGAUGGACACCCGCAAAAAAUAGCCGCAAUGGGUAGGGUAAAACCCCGCUUUCAUAGAUAUGGGCAUGGGCAUGGGCAUGAAAUCACACAUUUGCAAUUAUGAGGCUUAAAAUCGCACCAUUGGUAAACUAAGGGGUUAAAAUGUAUUUAAGUCUAUUAUUUUUGUAAUAUUAUUUAAAUUAUUAAUAAAUUGGAUAAAUCUCAUUAAAAUAGGAAAAAUCAGAACAAUAGGAACAAUAUUAAGAAUUAUGAAAAACCUUUUUUGACCUCAUAUAAAAACAAUAACAUAUUGUUUUGUAGUGUAACAUUUUUUCUUCCAAUUUUACCACACGUUUCUUUAAUUAUUUGCUAUCAUAUUGUAUUUAUUUGUUAUUUAAAGGCUUGUCUUAAUGCUAGUCCUAUGUUAUAUCCGUUGCUCUUUAUAUUUUAAUAAUAAUACAUAAAAAUAUAUUAAAUUAAUAACAUUAAAUCCUUAUAUUAUAAACACUUAAAUAUAAAUUUUGCUAUAAAUUAUGAAUUUCUUUUUAUGUCAUUUUACAUUCAUAAGUUAGAUGUGAGGUUAAUUUUACCAAACACUUCAAUUAGUUUAUCGGCUAUAAGUCAUCAGUCAUCAGCUAUCGCUAUCAGAUAUCAGUCAUCAGUCAUUAGCUAUAGGCUCCGUUUGGAUAAACAGUUUAUAUAGAUGCUUAUAUCAUUAGAGCUUAUAAUGUUAGAGCUUACAUUAUAAGCUCUUAUACUUGAUAAGCUAUUUAUGUUUGGAUAUGUACACUAAAAAGUACUUACAUAAGUUGAAGUGUUUGGAUGUGACAUUACAAAAGCAAUUAUCGAAAUUUUAAAUAUUUUUAAUUUAAAAAAAAAAAUCAAAGAAUCGAACCACAAUUAUCAAGAUUUUUUUUGAUAAAAUUAAUCAAGAUGUAAAAAAUAAUAUUAUAAUAUAUUAAUUAUAAUUAUAUAUAUAGUAUAAUAAAUAUUCGUCCUUAAAAAAAAUAUAAAUAUUCAUAUAAGACAAAAUUAACAUUCGAGGUGUAAAUAAAUAGUCUAAACAUCAUCAUACACAAGUAUAAUAAUAUAUGAUAAGCUUUCUUUUUUAAAAGAAGUAUAAUAAUAUAAAUAUAAACUUGAGAAAUUAUGAUUGUAAACUUACCAUAUAUAUAGAUAUUAAUGUACAGUUUGUUAUCAAAAAAAGAUAAGUUAAGUUUAUUUUUUGGGUUAAUGGUGAUUUACCCCCUGUAAUAUAGGUCAUUUUUUGUUUUCCCCCAUGUAAAUUUUUUUUUUGAUUUAUCCCCCUGUAAAAAAUUUUUUUUUUUGGAAUACCCCCCUAAUAGGUCAUAAAAAAACGACUUUAUUUUUUUUUUUUAGAAUUUUUUCGUUUUAUUUUGAUAUGUAACCCUUACAGGGGGUAAAGCACCAUUAACCCUUGUUUUUUUUUUAUUCAGUUUUAUUUUGUUAUGUAACAAUAAAAUAAUAAAAAUCUUCCUUAAAAAAAAUCUUAGUUACGUGUGUUACUUUAGUAAGAUAAGUAUAUAGCAAUUUUGUUACUCAUCCACAACCAAAGAUAACUAACAUUAUAAUUAAAAUAUAUGUUUUUUUUUCUAAAAACAAAAAAAUAAAAUUAAAAUAUAUGUUUUGAAAAAGUGGAUCCAGAGAGAACCGAAGGAGGUUACAUAAAUUCAUAAGCUCCUUGUUAAGCCGGAGGGUAAGCUGAAAAUUUAGGCUUAUUAACAUAUGGCAUAAGCAGCUUAUGAAACUAUGAUAAGCUAUUUUUAUUUAUUUACCCAAACAUCUUUAAAAAGGCUUAUAGAAGUAGAUAAACCCACAUAAACUCAAAAUAAGCCAAGUCAAACGGGACCAUUAUCUAUCUGCUGUUUAGUAAUCACUUUUCUUAUAAUAGAAGUAGAUUAAGAAUUAUGUUGGAGAAAUUUAAUUGUAGACUUACUAGUGUAAAAGUGUCAUUAGUUGAAGCUUCAAUAUACUCCAAUGGACAAUGUAUUUGACUAAUGCUCAUUUGACCGAAGAAUGGUUUAUUUUUUUUUAGUAUUUUAAUUGUUUUACAUGAAUGGGAUGGCAAUGCAUUAGAUUAUUGAGUAUUGAAAGAAACAUUAUGGUGUCUCAAUAUGCAUUAAUUUUCUAACUAAAUUCAAUUCUCAAUUGUCUUCCUAUAACUUCCCUCUUUCCACUUAACCAAAAUGGAAGAAAAGGAAGAAAAAUCUGUAAAAUCAAGCAGAAGAAGUUAAUUGAGAAACAUGGUACUCCCUUCGUUCCAAAUUAUAUGAUGUUUUGGGCAUUUUACACAUAUUAAGAAAUGUAAUAAAUAUUGUGUGGGAAAGAGAUAUUAUAAGUUGUUUUACAAAAUUAUCUUUAAUAAAUGAUAUGAGAAAGAUAAAUGAAGGAAUUGAAAGAAGAGAGAGUAAUAAAUAGCUAAGGAUAUAAUAGGAAAGGUAACAUUGAUAUUUCAUUGGUAUUGUACAAAGCUAACCGAAACAAAUGACAAAUUUCUAAACAAAAGUACCAAUAAUUACAAAAAAAAAAAGGCUAAAUUACCUUUUUAGUCCUCUAACUAUUUAGUUGGUAUCGGAUUGGUCCUCUAACUAAAAAUUGAUUUAUUUCGGUCCUCUAAGUUUCUCACCGUUACUACAUUUAGUCCUUUCUGUUAGUUUUAUUCAAAUAAACGUUAGGGUUUGUGUUAUGUGGGUCCUCUAACUUUAUUUAUUAGCAUCAUUUUGGUCCUAUUCCUUGUUAAGGUAUUAUGAUUAAAUAGUGACGGAUAUUAUUGGUAACUGUUAUGGUUCAUAUGUAUGUGUGAAAUAGGAGGUCAGGUACCCAUAUAACACAAACCCUAACGUUUAUUUGAAUAAAACAAACAGAAAGGACUAAAUGUAGUAACGGUGAGAAACUUAGAGGACCAAAAUAAAUCAAUUUUUAGUUAGAGGACCAAUCCGAUACCAACUAAAUAGUUAGAGGACCAAAAAUGUAAUUAAGCCAAAAAAAAAAAAAAGAGCAUAUCCAACCAAAAUAAAUGAAAAAGAAGAAAAAUCAGUAAAAUCAAGCAGAUGAAAAUAAUUCAGAAACAUGGAAGAAAACUAUGUAGUGGAAGGAAGAGAAAAACAAUUUCAAGUCAAUUACAAUUUCUUUUAUAUUUCUGCAAACACUUGUGUUGAUAUUUAUGAGAUAACGUGACAUUUUUCAUACAAAAAUUAACAAAUACUCCAAGUUUUCACACUUGCGUGUAAGAAAUAAAUUUACGGAAGUGUAAUAUUUAAGAGUGUUUUUAUUUACUUUGUCUAGAUAUAUAUCAAACAAUAUUGUAUAAAUCCUUAUCAAAUAGUUCAAGGGUUUUCUAUGCAAUAAUCAUACACCGACAUGUUAGGCACCUAUGAAAAACUGAAUUCAAAACUUGUAUCUAACAAGGAUAUGAAAACCACUAAUUGCAGUAAAUAUUUAAAGCAAAUAAAUAAUUUUAUUCAUUGUAUUUUCAUGUAACGUUGAAAUUGAAUCAGUUGGAGACCAACUCUAAGUUAAUGUUGAUGCCAUUUUCUAACAAUUCUCUAUUCUAAUACCUAAGUAACAAUACAUGCUUUAUUUUAAAAAGUUACUUUUUGGCAUGAAUUUUGUGUUGUGAUUUUUCCAUCAGGGAAAUCAACGUGUUGAUUCCCUUUGCAAACAUAGCUUUGUCAUUGCAAGCUUUAUUUAUUUGGGAAACAGUUUCUUCUUUCCUUUCCAGUCAAGUUGUUAAGGAAAAAUUUAGUAUUUUAGAAUUAUUUCCUUUGGAGAGUUUUAACCUAGUUCCCCUCUUUUUGUAUAUUUUUCUUUUUUAAAAGUUUAGAUGUCCACAGCCCAUGCUAUCACUUACGGUAAAAAAAAAAGUGUAACGUUGAAAUUCAAAGAAAUAAAUAGAAUUUGAGAAAUGUUAACGAGUACCCACUACACUCUUUAAAGACCUUCAAUAAUAUGUACGAAAAUUCGUGUAUACAUUGUCAUUAGUAAAUAUUUGACUUUUUGAAUGAAUAAUUUUUAAAUUUGGCAUAGUGUUUUUUUUUUUUCGACCAUAAAUUUGGCACAGUUCUAUGAAGCACUAAACCCAGAAAAAUUUAGACAAAAAUGAAGGCAACAUUAAGCUAUGAAAAAUUGAAAAUAGAGGGGGUAACAACAAUAACAUAGAAUGAAACUAUUUUAAAUUAUCAAUAAGGAAUAUUUUAGAAAUAUAUAAUAGGAACAAUAUUAAACAUUAUAAUAAACCAUUUUUGACUUUAUAUAAAAACAUAUUGUAUUUUAGUGUAACAUUUUUCUUCCAAUUUUACUAUACUUUUAUUUAUAUGUUAUCACUUAUUAUUUGUUAAUUAAAACGAUAAAAGUGUUAUGUCAACAUUCGUCUUAACGCAAGUUCUAGGCUAUUAUUUUUCCAAAAAGUAAAGCAGCCUGUUAUUUUUAUUUUUUCUAUUUGAUCAUUUUUGUUAUAAAAUGUCUAUAUUGUAUCAUUUUUUAUAGUAUUUUUUCAAUGACAUCCGAGUUUUUAAGUUUGUAUGAUGAAGAUUUGAGUUUGUUUAUGAGUUUGUUGAUUUUUUUUAGUUUUUUAUUUUUAUUUUUUAUAAAAAUGAUAACGAUGUUUACAUUUUAUAACAUAAUGAUUGAAUCGAAAAAAAAAAAAAAAAGGACGUAAGUGUGAUAUGCCAUUAAGUUAAGCGACGAAUUGUGUAAUUUUGCCAAAAGGAAGAGGUAAGAAAUAAGACUCAAAAUGUAGAGAAAGCAAUCGUAAGAAAACGAAGGAAAAAGAAAGACAGUGGACGUGAAGAUCUCUGGAUCUUUGACUGUGGUGGUGCGCGGCUAAACAAGGAGGAUUGGCAGUUUAAGUCGUAGAGUUUUUUUUCAUUGAUGUGGUGUUUGAGAGGAACAAGUGUUAUUCAUUUUGUUACUCUUCUUCUCUACCCAUCCUUGCCUCUCCUAUUUUUAUAUAUCAGUAGAAGUCUAAAGUUUAUGCCACUUUUUUAUGAAGAAAAUGCCAACUAACUGUGUACUGAGAACCAAAAAAUGUGUAUUUUCAUGCAGUGUUUGUUUGGUUGCGAGCAAAACAUGUGAUAGGCAUGAUUUUCUUGGGUGAGAAAUGAGACGUAAGGGAAAGUAUGAGAAAAACGGUUCAAAAAUAGAAUGUUAUUAUUAUUUCAUCUAUUUCAAAAUAAGUGUAACUUGGACAUUCAGUCGGGUGUGAGGCCAAAACCACGACCUAAACUAAACCGCAGAUGCUGUCACAAGGUCCGAUUUUAUCCGCUUUACAAAAUCAGUUUGAUAAUCUGGUGGUUUGUAUGGCACACAAGAGGAUCAUAGCUUGAUAAAUAGACAGGAUUAAAAUUUGAUAAUUAUAUCAACUAUCUUAAUUAUUACUAGGUACUACUAAGUUCAAUAAUACCAUACACAAAUUAACUUAGGAUAGCUCAUAAUAUUCCAUAACUCAGCUUUCAAUAGUCAUCACAAAUCUGUUCAAAUAAACCAAAAGAAUAAGAAGCAAUAGUUCAGGUAAUUUUACACAAAUCUUUUCUAGAUUCCAACAGAGACAGCCAAAUGUACUCACACAAGGAGAUUUCAAGAUAGGGUCUAUUACUCCUUCUAGAGCGACAGAUUGCUCCGACGGACCAAAAUGAAUGGACAGCAUGGUGCAUUUUCCAGGCCAAUAGUCAAUAAUCUAUAUCACCACAUUGAUCCAACCGAUUAGAGGGAGUGGAACUGAAAGGCAUGGUACAUUUCCCACGCCAACAGUCCAUAAUCAAUUUCGAAAUUUAGUUGUCUGAUUCGAUAUAUGCAAAAAUCUUCACAACAUUUAUAUAUUAAAAUGCAAUUGUUGUAAAGUUCUGCAAGACAUUUAUUUGUUAUGUAACAAUUAGUUUUGAAAAAUUUGUGUAUUUCAAUUUACAAUGCCUUUACUGGGAAGAUUUAAGAUAUAAUUAGCACAAAUAAUCAAAUAUUUCAAGUGCUGAUUGCUUAACAUAACAUGAUCCAAAUUUACUAUUGUAACUCCAUCACAUAAUCAAUAAUUUGAUAUCAGACAACUUAGAUUACACCUUUACUAUAUCAGUAAGAUUAGGCGGUCAAAAAUGCAAUUACUGCAGUGUAUCCGAUUCCACAUAACAUCUAGCAUUACUGUUGUCUCAUUUCGAAAUAAUUUGCUGAUAUUACUCUUUUUCCUGAGGGGGUGAUGAAGGGGAGUAAGGUUACAGAUAUCUGGAGAUUCAAGUUUUAGUAAAUUUGCAAUUGUGAUUAAAUUUAAAUGUAUAUAACUUGGCCAUCAAGUUUAGCUGAAAUUGACAAACGUACACGUAAAAAUGGUAAGUUUACAUUAAAAUGCAAAUUCUUUUCCUUGAUUACUCACAGUAUAUAUAGACAUAAUGAACAGCUUUUCAGAAGAUUCACAAGCCUUGUACUGAUAUGAAAAAACAAAUAAAUGAAUCAACAAAUGACACUAUAUGUUGUUCUUGAUGGAACCUGGAAGACAUGCACCCGACGUAUUGUUAAAAAAUCUUGUACUUCUUGCAGUAAAGAUCAUCCACAAUCUUAUCUGAAGCUGUAUUUGAGUUGAAUUGCACGGUUUGUAUCAAACUAGGUCACAAGUAGAACAGCAGCUCGAGUUUAACAAAUACCAUCAUAUAUACAAGCAACACAACUGCAUAUUGAACACCAAGGAAAGCCAGCAAGGAUCUGAUGCCAAGACAGUGUAUGAAAGUAUGGAACUUAGGGAUGAGGGAGAUGAUUUCUCAAAUUGAACAGAACUCAAUGGAGAUUUACUUGAACCAUUGAAACUAUGUUGUUGAAUGUGCCAAUGUCCUUUGAUUAACCCUUACACAACUCACAUGUCCUCGCUUGUGAUAAAAAAUCAUUGAAUCGACUGCGUAAUAAAGCCAACUCAUGAAAAAGCACUGAGAAAUUUUGAUUUUCAUGGAAGGUAUCAUUGCAUAUCCAAUAUAAAGUCAAAUUAAUAUUUGAAUGAAUCCAAGAAAAGUCCCAAUGUAAGGCCAGCUUUCCAAUAAUUAAACACCGAUAUUACACUUUUGGUAAAUAAAGGAAGAGAAGCACUGUACAUGAGAGCACCAAUGCCUUCCACAACAACAACAGCUAAGGCAGCAGAUAGAAUAUCCCAAUCACCAGUUUGUCCAAUAACAGUAGAAAAGGCAGUUGCACAAUAAAAUCCAAUCAAGAAGAAAAGAAGCUUCAUUGGAAGAUUUUUCUUUACCUUCUCAAUUUUAGAACCUAACGUGGUCUGAAAUUCUUGAAUCACUCUAAUUAUACGCGUCCUUCCGUUAGUUCCGUUUGAAGGACUGAAACUGCUGUCGUCUAUGCUGCUUCUCACUGACCAAGUCGUCCUCCUGAAGUGGAAUAAAAGGACUUGUUAUCCCAUGAAAUGUUCAAACUUGCAAUAUAUAAUUCUAUUCAUAAAAUUGACUUAUGAUAUUCACGCAUAGAGUGCUGAGAGCAAUAUUAUCAAUGGAGGAUGGCAGAACACAGAGGAGCGCCAAAAGUUUGUUAUGUGAAAUAGCAGAUAGCAUUGAGGUCAAAUAGAAGCUGAAUUAAGUCAAUCAUCUAUAUAUAUAUAGUUGCAUACAGAUAUAAAAGGGAAUGAACUAAAAGCAUAGCUUACAUAUUGAAAUAUUUAGGUAUUAUGGUGAAUAUAGGAGUAAUACUUAAUGAAUCUUCACUAUUUUAAAAAUAGGUAAUAUUUGCGCAUAAGAAAACUCAUCAAUAUUAAUAUAAAAAUCCUAAAAUCUAUUUUUUCCAUUUUUGUCGCUACAUUUGGUAGCAGAAAUUGGAAUAGCAGCCGCUGUUGCCCUAAUAGCAAAAUAAGAACAGUGCCGUGGUUUUUAUAGCAGAAUCAGCAAAAUUCACUAUGCUAUAGUGAUAAUAUCAUGGCUAUUUGACAACACUUGCUGAGUGUUUCAAACAGCAUGCAUACAGGUGAAAAACACAAACAUGACAUUGUUUUACAUCAAAUUGAAUUUAUCAAGAUUUUAGUAAUCAAACACGCUACAUCCAUCAUGUGAAGAUAACUUCAAGGAUAUUGAAGAUACUCUUAUCUGGUGUUGUCAAUCGCAGAUUUGUUCAAAUUCCGCGACACUGCUGUGCUAUAUUGCCGUUGUAGCCGCUAUCUGACCACACUUUGUACUAAUAGUGUAUCGUAGAAUAAUAGUUGCUUGUUCAAAUUUUGCUAUGCUAUAGCUGCUAUUUGACAAUAACGGUCUUAUCAUCAUCUGUUUUGGUGCUUAAAGACCUAAACAAAAUCCUUGUUAUCAAUUUAAUUACUUAACUACACCUAGCCAAUAAAACACUAGUAUAGAACUAUCUAACAGUGAAGACAAGUUUACAAUAAUAAUGUUAUGUUACAUAACCUACAUCUCAAGUUCCGUAAAUGUGUUGAUUUGCUACAGAACCUCCAACUAUGCAAUAAAUACUUAAACCAUGUCAUUAUAUAUCUUAGGUCUUGUGAAGAUUAGAUUAUCAUAAGUAUAAACUGCUACUGACUUACUUGAAACCGACAACUAAACAAGGUUGAGCAAAAUGAAAGGAGAAACAUGGAGAAAGCUUCUGGCCAAAUGCGGUUUUGUAAAAGAAUGCAGCAAGACCAACUUCAGAAACUCUCGAACUGAUAUAAUCAAGACAUAUAAAUUUGGCACUUGUCAUACAAUUGGAUAACAUCGUUUUGGUCGUAACUCGGAAACAGCAUGCAGAGUCCUUAUUCCUGGAGAUGAUACAAAAUGUAAGAAACAUCAAUAGGCACAACACUCCUUGAUGCAAAGAACGACAGCACGUGGAACCUUGAAUAAUUAAAAUACUCCAAAUGAACUAUCAUUAUAUGGUAUACAAUCAAUGAAACCAUUAUAAAACUAGUAAUUACCAUUCAUGUGAGUUCCUAACUUAAAAAUGGUGAUGGAGAGAUAGACACAAAAACUAUGCAAAGUUUCACAAAUUUUGUUAGGGAUCUACCUGUUUGGUAUUGUGAAUGUUCAUUUUGAUUAUUUACGAAGAAAUAUUGUUUUGAAAAAUGUUCUAUGAAAAAACACCGUUAUAUGGCUGAAGCUUUAUAUUUUAGGUGAAUCCACAUGUCUCCUCCCGUUGGAAGCAAUCUUGUUGAAGGAAUUAUAGGACACUAAAUUGACGUCUCUUCUACAUGGGUUCAAAGUUCGAUCAUAGCUCGCCACGUUGUGGAGACUAUAGCCCCAUCUGUUAGACUUAACUACCAUCGAUAGAAGAUGCUCCGUAUUGCACCACCACAAGGUUAUCCUCUCUAAGAAAGCUACAUGAUAUGUUUUGAAAACAGUGUUGUCAAGUAGUGGCUAAAAUAGUGCUAUAGCACUAUAGUAUAGGAUAAUUUUAACAAAUUGUUUCUGUUUUUCUGUACGCUAUUUGGUACAAAUUGUUGUCAAACAGAGGCAUUGUAGCAAGCGGAAUCCAAACAAACUGUUAUUUUCCACAAUUGACAAGAACAACAACAAAGUCUUAUCCCAUUAAGUGGGAUCGGCUACAUGAAUCAAACGCAAAGUCUUAUCCCACUAAGUGGCGUCGGCUACAUGAAUCAAACGACGCCAUAAUGUUCUAUCAAAUACCUUAUUUCUUUCUAACUCAUUAACAUUUAGAUCUUUCUUAAUAGUUUCUCUUAUAGUUUUUCUAGGUCUUCUCUCCAUAAGUUAUACUUUCCUUACUACAAAAUCCAUGUUUCUUCUCUCUACAUACCGAAACCCCCUAAGCCUAUUUCAUGUCAUAUAGAUUUGACAAAGUUUUGUGUUGGCUAUCGCCUGCCUAACACAACCCUCUCCUUCUAAUUUCCACAAUUGACAACAUUGUUUGAAAAUUAACAGACUCGAACACACAUUUAUAAUUGCAUCAUUCAUCAGUUUUAUAUAGCUUUAUCGUAGAAAUUUUUUCUAACGAGUUCAUGACAAAAACAACAAGCAUAACAUAACAAUUAACAACUAACUCAAUUUCCACCAAACAAUUCCUUUAAAUGUGUUUUCCUCAUUUCUAUAUUAUGUUGCAAUUAUGUGACUCAAUUCAACUAAUUCUCAUUGAUAGAUUAUUAUGACAUAUGAUUUCCAUGUAAACUUUUGGUCAUUGUUAUAUUCGUAGUACAACUAUGAUAAAACUAAAUAAACAAAACAUAAAAAACCAAUAUGGAUUUUGUCAAUUAUCAAUAAAAAUAACAUAUAAAAAUACCCAGAUGAAAAGAAAAAAAAAACUGAAAUUUAAAACGAAAUGAAACAGAAAUCUAUGAAACAAGUUGAAAACAGAAAAGGGGUGUUUCUGAAACAUAAAAGUUAAAGGCUUUAAAAAGUGGAGAUAGAAGAAAACAUACUUACUGUGUAUUAGAGUGAAGUUAGAAUGAGAAGGGAUUAUUCUUGUACUUGUUCUUUCACCGAAACCUUUGUUGGAGUUGGAAGCUUAUUAUCAUUUCCGAAGAAAAACAUAGUCAUAGGUUUCAGAAGUGUGUGUGUGUGUGUGUGUUAUGUUCAACUUGAACAUGUGGGGGAUAGGUAUGUCUUUUACUUACCCUUAGUUUUCUAUUCUUUUUUUUUUGACCAAAAAAAAACCUUGUUUUUUAUUCUUAAAAUGUAAUUUUUUUUGUAUUUACCAAAAUAGGCAAAGUUAAAGUUAAAAACAUGUUUAUAACGUUGGGUUGACCUAAUGGUAUUGGUUUGUGAUCUAGAAAGUGUGUUAUUUCUCAAAGUUUCAGAUUCGAUUAUCUUAGAUUUAUGUUUUUACUUCUUGUUUGGGUUUGAACCCAGGAUCUCCAACUCAUUUUUCUUUAGUUCAAACCAGUUGAGCUAGCCAGCUAACGUGACCUCCAACGCUUAAACCUCCGGUUGGCUAAUUUCAUAGGUGUCACAUACAACUUCCUUGUUAGUGGGAUCAUGAUGCAUUACGUUCAACUUCAAUCUCCUUUCAUCGACAUGAUUAGUUGACAAUGUCAUUUUGUGCAUAGCUCCACAGGAGAUUAUGUCUUCUCCCUCAUUUUGUGCAUAAUUUUGAUUCUUCCACUUUAUUUUUUACAAAUUUGAACUCCUUAUAUAUUUAUGUCAUAAUUUUUUUGGUUUCAUAUUAUUUUCAUAAGUUAAUCACCGCACUUUUUUAAUUUACAUUUUUAAUCCUCAAACUACGAGGACUUUGGGCACUUUUUGUCCCUUUUGAGAACCAAAAGAAUGAAAAAUCCUCAAAAUAAAUAGAUCAAAAGUGUACUUAAAACACUGCAAAGAUGAAACUGUAAUAAACAAUGUGUGGUAGCAAUAUUAUCAGAUUCUUUUAUCAUUCCAUAUUGAGACAUCUCUAUAAGCAUGCUAUUGUAUCUUUGUUUAUACCUUUCUUUUCUGUUUUAAAUCUUGUUUCUGGUGCAACAUUUUCAGCACAGCUUCUGCUUCCCAACUUUGUACCCUCUUAAUCUAUUAACAAAAAACUACAUUCCAAAGCAUGUUAGCAAGUAGUUUACUAAAGAAAUUAAUCAAUUGGUAAUCUCUAAGAUUUCAAUUAUAUGAAGAGAAGUCUUCAGUUUCGCAAUCGAAUUUGCUUUAACAUCAAAUUCUCUUUAACGACGAUUGACGAUGAUCUUUGAAGUUGAUUCAAAAUAUAACGUGAAUAACAUAAACAAAAAUGAAGAGAAUCAAACAGGAAUAUACCACUUUUAUUUCUGUUUACAAGAGUCUUUAAUCUUCUUUUUUUCUCAACUCUUCAGCAGAGUUUACUAGAAAGAAAGUCAAUGAACUUACAUCAAGGGUCCGCUUGGAUAAGGCUUAUUUUGAGCUUAUGCAAAUAAAUGAGCUUUUUUCUAUUAUUUAUAAGCCUGUCAAUGUAGUUUAUGAAAAAACUGGUUAUGAAGAUACAAUUUUUGUUAGUGAAAAAUUAUAAAUUAACAUUAAAGCUUAUUUAUUUGCAUAAGCUCAUAAUAAGCCUCAUCCAAACUGGCCAUAAGUAGGGGUGCCUAAAUUUACUAUUAUCUAUAUAAUUUUGACCAUAAAUUAUAUAGAUUAACUUUCUAUUAAAACAGAAAUUAAUCAAAUAUAUUAGACCUACCUGGCCACUACUAUUGACAGAUAAAAACAACACAUCUUUCUAUGCCAUUUCUGAGUAUUGAAUAUUGAUGGAUGCAUGGGUGUAACUAGUAUUUAGAGAAUAUAAAUCUGCAAAUCUGAAAGUUACUGCCAUCUAAUUAGACCACUUCAACAUAGAUAAUCAAUCUAUUUCAUACCAAGCCACAUUGAUUAGCUCUGUUUUCUAUCAUGAAUAUCAAUUUGAAACCAUAUAUAAUAAUCAAUCUAAAAAAAUAUGAAUAGUUAAAGGUAUCACACCAUUACAGAUGUUCGAUGGCAUCCGACAUAAUAAUUGUCUAAACAGCAAUCAGUUGCAUGAUAGUAUGACUGCCAAAUACAGCUAAUCAGAUCAUAAUCUACAUAGAGACAAUAAUAAGUAAAUAUUAAGCUAACCCUUUUGGAAUAGAAUCCCAAAAUAUAAUACAGAUCUUCAAGCCUUUGUCAAGUCCUCAACCAAAAUUACAAAUGACCCUCUCGCUUUUCCACCACGAGUUGAUGAAAACCACUGAGUAGAAAAAAAUCUCAGGACUGAAGCAAGAUUAUCACUAAGUUGCUGAAGACUUAUAGCAAUGAGCAAAGCAAUUUAGUGGCUUGAGGUCAUUCAAAGCUAUUUCUCAUGCUUUUUUUCGAAGAAUCAAUCCGAACUUAAAUCUUUGACCGUCUAAAUUCAAACCAUAUCUCAUAGUGAUUAAACAGAAUACUAUCAUGUGUAUGCUUCCCGAGAUACUCAAGUCCUAAACUCGUAAGCCUCUUUGUGCAUUCCUCUCCUCCCAACCUUGAACAGAACUUUAUAUUAUGUGAUACAUAGAUUCGUCCAUCAUAAGGUUUCAAUUUGGAUGUUAAUCUUUCCAGUCCAAUCCAUACGAGUUUAUCAGGCAUAUGAAGAAAUACAGCACUAGCGUAAAUCAAAUCAUAAGUUACACCAGAACCGAACUUACUGAAAUCCAUGUCCUCGCCCUUAACGAUCAGAGGUCGUUUAUGUAAGAGGCCUUGUGCUGGAAGCUCGUACCUAAAUGCAGCCAUCAGAGAGAGCUCAUCUCUUUCAAGACAAUGGAAGUGUUCAGGGUUUAGAUAUCGAAUGAAAUGCAAACCAACUCGAAGUGUGCCACACCCUAUCUCGAGCACCUGCGAGUCUGGUCUGAGCUGAAUCGCUUGAGCAAGAAACUCGUACACAUCCCUUCCACCUGCCCAAGGUUCACCGUAGUUACUAUGGUGCUCUUCAACUAGAAGUUCUCCGGGGCAUGGAAAUGCGGUGUGGUUAUUUGAGUCAGGUCCCUCGUAGUGUGAUAUGCCCUUAAAUCUGCACUUGGAGGGAUAAAAUAUAAUCAGGAAACCCAAUAGGGAAGUCAUAUAGUAUGAUCAAACAAAAUGAAAUUAGAAAUCAACCAUUUCUAUAAAACUAUUGACUAGACUUGAGUGUGAUCGUGAUGUUUUAAACUUAGAGGAUAAAGAGUUGAAUUAUAACCAAUGAUAUGAAUAAAUGGUUAAAAUUUAACAGUUCAUAGUUAUUAAUACACGUGUAUAUAUUAUUUCACAAUCUCAAUACUUGAUUUUUCAAUGAAUAUUUUACCACAAUCUCAACACUUUGAUUUUUCAAUCAACUCUACUUAUCCUCUGAAGUGUGACCUCUCAAUUUAGAGGAGCCAGAUCCCAUAACCAUAAAAAUCUCUGGUGUGGCUACCAAAACAAUCAGAUCUUUUCUUCGGAAUCUUAGGAAGAGACAGACAAAUAUGGACAGUAAGUAAACGAGUUACGAGUGUUCUAUAGUUAUGAAGACAUCAUAAUCUAAGGCCAAGACCAAAACAUUCUUUAAUACCUUAAUUUAAUCCUAUUAUAAAAAUAUUAUAAAAGCAUUCUUUUGCACUUUUAAACUAUGAUAUACAUGGUGUUUGACUUUGAAAGCCCAUGUGCUUGUUCACAAGUCACAACUGAACAGAUCAGAUCAGUUAUCAUCCGUACAGGCUGUACAGCAAAGGUCAGAAAGAGGGAAGCAUCUAUACUACAAAUUGCAAAUUAAAAAUUGAGAAACAUUCCAACUCAAAAGAAUGUGAAGACAAUGUUUAUACGCAUUUCCACACAAGAUAGACAUAAAGCGAAUAAACUUCAGUGCGAAGCAUAGAAUCAUUUAAACAAUACUAGAGAUACCAAUAAAAACAUUAGCAUGGAAAUUUCCUGGUACUCCCAUUUUCACUCACUCUUUUGCAUCAUCUCUCAUUCUUGCCGACCCCUGCACUAUUUCAGUGCUACCCUACUAUUCAGCAUGCCAAUUUAUUUUCCUACAUUAGUUAAUAUAUCCAGUAUGAUUUAUCGGAACCAAUUCUCCCACCUCACUCCAUAUUCUAUCUCUACCAAAGCAACAACUUCGAUUGCAAUCUACAAAUGGCGAGAUUUUCAGAAAAUCUAAUUCUUAAGAGUGAAGCCACUAAUAAAGUACAUAACAUUAAAACGUGGUAUAACAAAACAGAUAUAUACUGUGUCCACACACACACAUGGAUAAAAUAAAUUGAGAAGACGGGUCUUACUGUCUAAGAUCCUCAAGUUGUUGAGCCCUAGUGCGAGGGUUAAUACCCUUGCGGAGCACAUUUUCUUGCAUAUGAAGUCCAUUUGCUUGUAUUUGACUUUUCACCCAAUCAACAUCCUCUUUCCUUGUUGCUAAAAAACCGUUACCUCUGCUAGAGUCAGACGAACCAACAUCAACGUUCCUAACUUUGUUGGCAGGGGUGGAGGAAGGUUGUGAAGGGCAUGAGCAAGAAGAGAGAGACGACAAAAGGAAAAACAGAAAAACAGCAGCCACUGAGACAGUGAGAACCAGAGCCGGCACUGUCAUCACUACGCCUUUCGACAUAGCCCGAGGAACUGAAAGCGCCAUCAAUGACUACACCUCUUAAUUUCACCCUGUGAAGCUGGCAGAAACAACCAAAUCAACACUAAGCAAACAUCCCAUUGCUAAUCACAAAUAACAUAAACUAGUGAUUUCUUCAAAUUCUACUACUCUAAAAAGCACCGUAAUACUGCUAUUUGACAAUACUGUAAAAUUGAUUUUGCCGUAACAAGAAUUGAUUUUGAGAGAAUUGAUUCCGACCAAAAUUUAGUUGAAAAAGGUAAAGUGAUUUAUGUUUGGAUACAUUCAUGUAAAAGUGCAUUCAACUAUAAAUUUGUGUGUGAAAAUCAAUUCUAGAAUCGAAAGCUACAAAUCUUAGCUUCAAGUAGAAUCAAUUACGCUACAGCACCGCUAUUUAUUAACACUAGCCAUUGCUCAUUUAGAUUGUAGACUUAUAAUAAUCUCAAACUCACUUAACCACAAUACUAAAAAAAAAUAAAAAAAUAAAAAACCAAAUUUGAAUGGCAUCUAUAGAAAUAUAAUGCAUAAAUCUGUAAAAUAGUUAAAAUAAAUCAAACCCCCAAUUGAAAUAUCCAUGUUUAGUAGCUAGAAGAAUGAAUAAUUGAGUGACAUAAUGCACAAAACAAACCUAAUUGUAUAUUAUAAAAGUGACCCAGUUGAAUAAUCAAACUAAAGAGCAAGAAAAUGAAGUAAAAACAAUCAACGGAAUGAAAAAACAAAAACACAAAUGAUGAAAUGCGAAACGAACAGUACCUACAAAUUUCGUAAACAAUCGUACCCGUUUAGAGAGUAGAUCUAGUGAGAGAGAGAGAGAGAGAGAGAGAGAGAGAGACUCCGACAAGAGUCGCCCGGACGGAACGAUUAAUGGGUUAAAGUAGAAAUAUUUAAUUGUAAUUAAUAUAUUUGAAUUUAAUUUUUUUUUAUUUUUGAUUAAUUUAAUACAUAAAAUUUAAGAAAAAAAUUUAACUUUUAGAUUGUUAAACAUAUAUACUCUAAAAACACAAGUUAUCAUGACCCUUAAUUUAUAUAAAUUUAAAGUUAGCAUGAUCCUUAACUUAUAUAGACCUUCGAUUUGAUGUACAAUAUUUUUUUUUAAGUGUGUAUGAAAUAUGAAUUCUGGAAUCAAAUUAUUAAAGUGUGAUAAGUCACAUGGUUAGAUGUAUGUAUAAAUUUUUUUACAUUAAUUAAUGAUAAUAAUAAUGUGUGUAUUAUUAUUAACAAAGUUAUUUUAUGUAGUCAUUUAACAAACAUUAUUUUUAUCAUAAAAUUAAAUAUUUUUGUUAGCAAUCAGAUCCGGUAGAUGAGACGAGAUUCUUCUAAAAAAAACUUGUACGAUGAAUUCUUCCUUGGUUUAGAUUGGUUUGGUUUUCACUCUUUUUCAAAAAAGAAAUCGAACCAAAUAAAUUGGUUUGGUUGAUCGGUUUAUUUGAAAAUAAAAUAAAAUAAAAAAUCAUAUUCUUACAAAUUUGUAUUUCAUGCAUACAACAUACUUCAUACUAAAAUAUUUCAUGGAACUUUGUAUUUCAUAUUGUGUUUUUUCAUUUUCUCUAUUUUGCAAGCAACUUUUAAUAACCAAUAGAUGGACGAUCUCAGCGUUGGUGAAGAAUGAUGGGUUAGGUGUAGUUGUCAACUAGGGUUUCUUUUUUCCAGAAGAAAUGAAAUAGAGUUUGAGUGAUGAGAUGAAAUGAUGAUAGGAGAAAGUGAAUGAAUUAAGGAGUAUUUUAUGUUGGACUUUAAUUUUGGGCCUAAUAAUAAGUGUAUGAGGAGAAAUUAUAUUAGUAAAAUGGGGAGUGUGGUUACCAUCGGUUCGAUUCAUUGGUUCCUUGGAUCUCAAAAUGAAAAACUGAGAACCGAACCAACCAAGAUCGGUUUAGAUUGGUUCGAUUUGGUUUUGAACCGAGCCAAACAAAGUUGGAUACUUUUUCGGUUUGGUUUAAUUUUGACUAUCAGUUUCGUCGGUUUUGUCCGAACCACUUACACCCAUAGGCCUGACGCCAACCCAGUCCGACCCAAGAGAUCCGAUUACAUAAAUGGGUUAGCCCGACCCAACCCAUUUAUAAUAGAGUGGUUGAUACUCUAAAGGUACACAUAGAUACUUAAAAGAUAUUUCGCAAACAUGUAUCCUAGAAAAGAUAAAGAGUAAAAAGGUGUGACGGUAUUGUGAGAAUGCAAGGAAGCUGUAUAUGAUUAAAUCAAAUAUAUGAAGUUGUCUAUUGAUGAACUAAACAUAAAAAUUAUGUUUUUUUUUUUUUUUUUUUAUAAACGUAAUAAGAGAGAGGAUAGUUUUUUUUGGUAGUGGAGGGAGUUUUAUUUUUUUUUUAAUUAUGAUUUUGUUGAUAUCUUAACGUAUCAAUGAAAAUAAAAUAUGAUUUAUACAAAUAUUACACAUUUUUCUAUUUGAUCACAAGUAUUAUAUUUUGUAAAUUGUCAUAUUUUUAGUUAUAUAUUAAUGAAGAAUAAUUGAUGCAUAUUAUAAGUAUUUUAUAUGUAUAUAAAUUUUAUUGUAAAUUUUUUUUAACGUUAUGUUUUCCAUGUUGUUUUAUAAAUUUUAAAAUUUUCGUGUACCCACUUACACAUUUGUACUACGUAUUCAGACUUCAUAGAUUGACGCAGUUCUUGAUGCGCAAUUCCCCACGAUCGUGCCUCCUCUCUCAUCGUCCUCAAUGGUUAGUGGUUUAUGAACAUGGAGUAUGGGUUUUAAGCUUCAUUAUCCAAUCCGAAUAAGCUUUGAUUAAAUAAGAGAUUUCUCAGGCCCACAUUUCAAAUCAGUAGAUUUGAGAAAGAAUCGUCCUCGUAAGCUUGACUCAGUUGAUAUGGACAAUGCAUAAUGUAUGUAAGGUCCGGAGUUCAAACCCCGACUACCACAAAAAAAAAAAGAUAUAAGAAAGAAUCAAUUUGUCAUAGCUUGGUUGUCCUAACCUUCACCUAACUUUCCAUUGGCUAGACAUUCUCAAAGCCCAAGUUACAAUCGCCUAUCUAUCAAUGCCAAUUAACAAAAUAAUUAUUUUUAGCGGAAACAACAUUUAAAAGAAAUUUUGAACAAAACUAUCUAAACAUAAAUCAAUUUAUGUUUAACUCACUUUUAUUGAAAAAUUAAUUUACUCAAAAUCAAUUUUCGCUACCACAAAAUUAAACACACACCUAAUCUCGUUAGAGUUGAUUUCUUUUUAGCUUAUAUGAACUUAUCUACUAACAUAAGCUUAUCACAUUUUCAUAAGUUGUUAAUGACAUUUGUUAAAAAAAAAGAAGGAAAUAUUAACGAGUGCCUCCGGGGUAUUUUUUAAGCACCAAAAGUGGUAAGAUUUUAUGAAAGUUUGUGCAUUGGAUAUUGAAGUAUUUACUUUUUUUAAAGAAUAAUUUCUUUAUUAAGAAUGUUUAAAGAGUGAUACGGAGGCACUCGUUAACAAGACAAAAAAAAAAAAAAAAAAAAUCUUAAAAAGAAGACUUAAAUGCUCAAUUGGUCUCUUAACUUGAUUUCAAGUAUCGGUUUGAUCCCAUAAGUAAUAAAAGGUCCGUUUAAGUCCCUUAACUUUAUUUAAAGUAUCGGUUUGAUCCUUUCUGUUAAUUUAAUCCAAAAAAACGUUAAAUUUUGAUCCUUUAACUUAUUUAAUUAGUAUUAGUUUGAUCCAUUAACUUAUUUAAUCAGUAUUAAUUUUGUCCUUAAUCUUAACUUUUUUUUUGAAUUAAAUUAAUAAAGUUAAGGAUCUAAAGAUACCUUUUAUUAUUUAUGGAACCAAACCGAUAUUAAAAAUGGUUAAGGAACCAAAUCAACAUUUAAUCCUAAAAAAACCAAACACGUUAACAUAGAAAUAGGGUUCUAAUUUGAGCUUGUCACUGUUACUCACCACACGAAGCUUUCACUUUACUGAACCUAACAAGACAACUUCCAUCUUCACUCUUCCAACAAUAAGGUAUCAUUCAAAUCUCAGAUCUCGUUUUCCUCCGAUUCGAUAACGUUGUUUGCUUCUCACACAUGUCCUGUUCUUCAAAAAAAUGUACUUUUUCUCAUUUUCAUUUCAAUUUCAAUUUAGGGUUUCAUAUUGUGAUUAUGAUAAAUUUGAACAUUACAAUUUCUGGGUCUUUAUUUUUUUAUAUCAGAUUCAGAUCAUUAUAUACAUUUCUGUUGAAUUUUUGAAUUUUGUCAUUUUCAUUUCGAUUUAGGGUUUGAUUUUGUGAUGAUGAUUGAUUAGAGCCAUAGAAUUUCUGGGUCUUAUUUUUUAUUUUAUUUUUACAUCAGAUUCAGAUCAAUUAUGUACAUUUAUAUUGAUUUUUGCUUGAAAAUUAGUGUUGAUUUUGUGUUUUCCCCAAAUAUGUUAGGUUAAAGGGUUUAUACAUGGUGGAUUAGUUCUUUUUGCUGAAAAAUGCAGUCUUUCUAGGUAGAAACUAGAAACCACAUUCCCAAUGUUUCAUUUGUGUAUUAUAAUAAUUUUUUUUUUUUUUUUGAGGUUUUAAUUUGAUUUUUUGGAAGAUAUGCUAAAAUGGGAUUUUUGAUGGAUCAAAUUUUUCUAACAUAAGUUUCUUGUUGUGUGGCACUGUGGCUUAGGAUUGCAGUAAAUUUUUGCUUGUAAAGCCUUGCUAUUUUUGGAUUCAAACAAAUCACUUGUAUUAUAUUCAAUUUCAUUUUAUUUGUUGUAGCUUGAAUUUUGUUUUCAUUCGUACAGUAGUACCAUAGUUAAAGUGACAUUGGAUUCAAGAUUAGACCAUGAGGACUUUCUUGGUGUUACUUCCUAGAUUUUUAGAUUUAGAUAGCCGUGUUUUGGGUCAGUUCAUAGUAAAUUUGAAUUGAGUAAAUGUAAGGAGAGAACAAGUAUGACAUGAAGAAUAUAGUUAUCGCUUGUCAAUUAGUAGUUUAGUUAGUUAGUCAUUAGAAAUAUAUUCUUCAUGUAGGCAAUUGAUUCUGUGAACUAGCCCUUCUGGAUUAAAUUACCAAGCAUGACCCUUGUGUUAUAAUUUUUAUGAAAUCAGGGAAUUUAUAUUUUUUCUUGUAAAUUAUAUUCCCAGAGUAAACUGUGCUGGUGUUCUAGAUGUUUAAAUUGCAUUUAGAAUCAUUAGUUUUUGGACAUGCUAUACAUGGAGUGGGGAUUGGAUGGUUGUGGAACUGUAAUUAUAGAAUGUUCUAGGUCUAAGAAGCUUGAGAAGAGAGACAUGGAUUUUCUUUCAUCUAAAGAAAGCAUCUCGAAGAAAACUAUAACUUAUAUGGUAUCAGACACAAAAGAAAGGCUUUGAUUAAUAAGUUUGAACUCAUAUUUCCAGAUUGGUAACUGCUUGCUUACAUGUUAUUUCCAUGAUUACUUAUAUUAUAAUCUGUAUACUUUUAUUUAGAAUGUCGUAAUAUUUGCUUUAGUGAUUAUUUCUGUAUUAUAAAUUAAUAUCUUUACAGCAGCGGAACAUGUUUGGAUGAGUUUUUUUCACGAGAAAGUACCAAAACACUACUUAAAACCCACCAAGCAUGAAACAUCAUCUGAAAUAAUACAAGUAAUUAAUUUGAUUGCUAGAAAUUAAAGUGUGUAACGGCACAUUGCUUUUAGCAAUUGACACUUUUUAUAAGUUGAAUGUGUUUUGAUCAUGCUUUCACUUCCAUGUGCUUGAUCAGUGAUCACACACAUUCUCAAUGUUUUUAUUUUGCAUUUAUCUUGAUUGAACUUUUUUGAACGCUUGCAGGUUCUGUGUUAAUUUUGAUUCUGUUGACCGAAAGUGUGCCCAUCCGUCCCUCCAUUGGCGUUAGCUAUGCUACCCACUGCAGCCAAAGAGACCCAAUUACGUGAGAACAACAGUCAGAAAGUCCACCCUCAACCAAUGGAAGAAGCUACGAACCAGAAUCCAGAAGCUGUGGAAACCCUAGUAUCUAAAAUAUUCACAAAUAUCUCCUCUCUGAAAUCAGCUUAUAUCCAGCUGCAAGCUGCUCAUACUCCCUAUGACCCCGAUAAAAUCCACACUGCUGACAAACAAGUUAUUAGUGAGCUAAAAAAUCUAUCUGAACUUAAGCAUUUCUACAGGGAGAACAACCCAAAGCCAGUGUGUGUUUCUCCUCAAGACUCGCGUUUAGCUGCAGAAAUUCAAGAACAACAGAGCCUCCUGAAAACGUAUGAGGUCAUGGUUAAAAAGUUUCAGUCUGAAAUUCAGAAUAAAGAUUCGGAGAUCCAUCAACUGGAAAAGCAGAUCGAGGAGGCUAGUCAAAAGAGGGCAAAACUAGAAAAGAAUCUGAAGCUUAGAGGUUUGUCGGCUAAAGAAUCAGAAGAUGGAAAUGGGUUUUUCCCUGUGGAUCUAACUCCUGAUCUCUUUACAUCUUCUGUGGAAGCAGCUGCGAAAUCAGUUCAUGAUUUUUCUAAACCUUUGAUCAAUAUGAUGAAAGCAGCUGGGUGGGAUCUUGAUGCUGCUGCCAACUCAAUCGAACCGAAUGUUGUUUAUGCGAAGAGAGCUCAUAAGAAAUAUGCAUUCGAGUCUUACAUAUGCCAAAGAAUGUUUGGUGGCUUCGAGCAAGAAAGCUUCUCUGUCAAAUCAGACAAUAUUACAAUCAAUAAAGAGAGCUUCUUCCACCAAUUUCUCGCUUUAAGGGAGAUCGACCCUUUGGACAUGCUAGGUCAGAAUCCAGAUUCCAUUUUUGGGAAAUUCUGCAGGAGCAAAUACCUAGUGGUAGUUCAUCCAAAGAUGGAGGCGUCGUUUUUUGGAAAUCUAGAUCAGCGAAAUUAUGUGAUGGGUGGAGGACAUCCAAGAACUCCUUUUUACCAAGUUUUUCUAAAACUAGCAAAGUCAAUUUGGCUUUUACACAAAUUGGCUUAUUCUUUUGAGCCAAAUGUCAAGGUAUUUCAGGUUAAAGGAGGGAGCGAGUUCUCCGAUGUUUACAUGGAAAGUGUGAUCAAGAAUCUGAUAAUGGAAGAAAAUGAUGAAAAGCCAAAAGUUGGAUUGAUGGUUAUGCCUGGAUUUUGGAUUGGGGGAAGUGUGAUUCAGAGUAAAGUUUAUCUCUCUGGUAUGAAGGUAGCUGAAUGAUUCUUGAAAACAGGCAUGCUUUUCAGCAAAUCCAAAUCCAUUUGGUUGUAUGCGCGUUGUUUCAUUAUCAUCAUUUUCUUAUCUUUUAAGAUAAUGUCGUCGUCGUUUGUAACUUUUAAGAUCCCUUUUAGUGUUUGUAAGAUUACAUGCUGGAUUCCAGGUCUCUUGUUGCAACUUUAACAGUAUAUGUGGGAGGGAUAUUGGAAGGUGUAUAAAAGUUUUCAUUGCUUUGGGGAAAAAGAGAUUCAUGUGUUCAUUGUUCACAGCAUACUGCAUUAAACCAAUCAAAGAGUGAUACAUUAUCACUUCAAAAUGCAAAACUUGUGUAAAAUAAAUUUGCAGAAAACCAUCAAUUUAGUUCCACUCUAUCAACUAUUUAGUCUUUAACCCUUCCAUUGACACGUGUCCAUUGUGGAUUGGAGCUAUCAUAGUAAACCUUUGAUUAGCAAAACUCAUUCUCAUCUCAUUUGUCCUUCUAUUGAAUUUGAAUAAACACAUGACUCAUAACAUUGAAUAGUUACAUUCUAUUUUUGAACCGUUUUUCUCAUACUUUCCCUCACGUCUCACUUAUUACCCAAGAAAAUCAUGCCUAUCACAUGUUUUGCUCGCAACCAAACAAACACUUCAUGAAAAAACACAUUUUUUGGUUCUCAGUACACAGUUAGUUGGCAUUUUCUUCAUAAAAAUGUGGCCUAAACUCUAGACUUCUAUUGAUAUAUAAAAAUUAGGAGAGGCAAGGAAGGGUAGAGAAGAAUAGUAGCAAAAAGAAUAACACUUGUUCCUUUCAAACACCACUUCACCACCACUUAAACUCCCGACGUUUAGCCACACACUACCACCGUCAAAGAUCCAGCGACCUUCACACGGUCUUUCUUUUUCCUUUGUUCUCUUACUUCUCUUACGUUUGCUUUCUCUGCAUCUUGGGUUUUAUUUUCUACCUAUUAUUUUUUAUAAAAUUAUACAAUUCGUCAAUUUAACUUAAUUGUGAAUGACAUUUACGUCAUUUAUUUUAUUUUAUUUUUUCGAUUUAAUCUUUAUGUUAUACGAUUUCAACAUCGUUAUCCUUUUAUAAAAAAAAAAACUCAAAAAUUCAAACAAAAAUAAAAAAUCAUCAAACUUAUAAGCAAACUCAAAUCUUCAUCAUAAAAACUUAGAACUCAGAUUUCAUUGAAAAAUCUCAUAAAAGAUACAAUAUUGACAUUUUAUAACAUAAAGGAUUAAAUAAAAAAAAAAAUAAAGGACAAAAAAGCCUAUUUUCAUUUUGAGCAUUAAAGUUGUUCAUUGUUUUGAUACCCUAUUUUUAUUUUUAUUAAGUUUUUGGAUCUCUAUUUUGAAAUUCAUCUUCGUAUUCACCUUUUUCAUCUUUUUUAAACUUUUUAUCAUCACUCCAUUUUAAAUUCAAUUUUGAUCAUGUAUCUAAGUUAUUAAUGGCAUAGCAACUCACAUGUAGACAAGUCACUAAUUUAAUAUGUCCACAUGUUCUCUAUCACAUCAUUAAUAACUUAAACACGUAAUCAAAAUUGUCAUCAAUGUGGGGUGGAGAUUAAAAGUAAAAAAAGAAAAAGAGGAUGGAAAAGCUAAAUUUUAAAAUAGAAUUAUUAAAACUUCAUAAAAAUGAAAAUAGUGCAUGAAAAUGCAUUUCAUCUAUUACUUUUUUCAAUUUGGACAAGUAGGGUCUGCCCCUCUUCGACCGUAAGAGGGGUAUUACAAGGGUAGGCUAGCUUUACUUUUUGGAAAAAUAAUUACCUAGAAUUAGCGUUAAGACGAGCGUUAACAUAACAAUUUUAUUGUUUUUAUUGACAUGGAAUAAUAAAUGAUAACAAAUAAUUUUUUUGAGGACAAAUAAUUAAAUAAAACAUGGUAACAUAUAGUGUCAUUUGUUGUUCAUUUAUUUGUCUUUUCAUAUCAUUACAAUUUACAAGGCUUGUGAAUCUUCUGAAAAGCUGUUCAUUAUGUCUAUAUAUACUGUAAAUAAUCAACAAAUUUUUUUUUACAUUUUUUGUAAACUUACCAUUUGAAAGUAAUGUUUGGUAUAGAUUGGUUCAGCCUAUCUGAUUAUUGAGAUUCUUCUCAACGCAGAUAAGCUAUUGUGUUUCCUGACAUGUUCUCUGCUUUUCAAGAUGCUUUUUAGGUUGGGAUUGGCCUAGCUUUUUUUAGGUUUAAAAGUUACUUUUGAAAGUGGAUAAAAAGAACUUUCAAAAUAAAGCUUAAGUUGUUUGGUAUGUUUAAAUAUUUUAGCUUAAAACUGUUUUGAAGUUAAAAACUAAUUAUUUGAUAGAAUUUUUUGUCAAAGCUCUAAUUUUUAAUGUUGCAGUUAACUAUAAAUUUUAAUUUAUUUUAUUAAUAUGUAACAUAAAUAAAAUAUAUUUUAAUUAUAGUGAAUUUUUUGAAAAUAAAAAAUUAAAUAAUUAUUAUAAUUUAAUAAAGUAAUAAUUAUAUUUAAAUUAAAGAAUAUAUAUUGAUCAUACUCUUUCUUCCAUUUUGAUAAAGUUUUUUUUUUUUUUUAUAAUCAGACAAAACGAUAAUAGUCAUUAAAAACUCAUACAUAAAUAAAGGAGUCACAUUUUAAAAGCGGUCACGACGUCCGCUCUAUUAAUUUUAUUAUUUUAUCAACUGAGCUAAUACUUGUUGACUUAAUAAAAUUUAUUUAGUUAGACUUUCUAAUGAAGUUUGUUGUUGUGAUGAUAUUAUCAAUGCUCAUAAAUUUUAAAUUAUAGAUUGAUCAAAAGAAGUUUUGUACUGUAUUAAAAAAAUUAUCUCAUCAAUAUGAUUUUUUAUUUUUGAGGGGCAUCAAAUAUGAAACAUGUUCUACAUUCUUAUUUAUAUAUACAUUCUUAUUUAUAUAGUUGCAAUGCAAUAAUUAUUAUAUGAGAAAUGAUAUUUGUACAACUUUUGUACAACCUUCUCUCUCAUACUCACAUUAUUUUCUUAUUCUCUCUCUUCCUUUUUCUCUCUCUCUCUCUAUUGUUUUUGACCAAUAAGAAGAAAACACAACAAGGUUGUCCCAAAAAUUGUACAAAAAAAGUUGUUCAAAUAUCACUACUCUUAUUAUAUGUAUACAUUUCAAAAAGAAUGAAUGAGCAUUUUAUUUAAGGAAUGAAUGAGCACUUUAUUAUCAACGUUAAAAAAUGAAUUGGUAUUCGCUAGGGAUGGCAUUGGGUAGGGUAUUACAAUGCCCUUCCCUAUACCCGUGUUUGUAAAAUAUAUCUGAGUCUGUAUCCUCGUGAGCAACAAUUUUAGUGUCAUUUCCUAUAUCUUAUGGGUGCCUUAGUCCUCGUACUUGCAUCCAUUAUCCGCACUUUAACUAUGAAAAGACAAUAAAAAUAUCUCAAUUGAACUAAAAUCAUGGUUCAAAAAGUUUCAAAUCAACUCAUAAAAUAGUACGAAUCAUAGUAUUGAACAAAAUAAAAAACAUUCAAAACAUCUUUUAAAAAUUGUAUACCAGUAGGAGGGAUCGAUUAUUGUAUUAAGUAGCUUUUAGGUUUUAACUUAGGCUUAAAUAGCUAAAUAAAUUAAUUAAUUAUACAUCAAGAAUAAAUAAAUUAUUUAUCAUUUUAUAUAAAUAUGUAUAUGUGGGUUGUGGGGCUGGACAAUAUAGUACCCUUAUCCGUAUCUAUACCAAUUUAAAUUUGCGGGUAAUACCCGGACCCAUGAAAGCGAGGUUUUACGCUAACUAUUAUAGAUUUUUUACGGGUAACCAUUGAGCCUUGGUUUAAUUGCCAUCCCUACGCUAGACCAAUUAUUUUAUCAAAAGAAGUAAAAUUGCUUGAAACCAGAAAAAAUAAAAUUAGUUCUUUCUUUAAAAAAAUUUGAAUAGAUAUAUUUAAAAUGUUGGAGCAAAGAAUCGAAGGGAUUUAAAUUGAAAAAGCAGUCGAAUCUUUGUUAAAAGAUCUUUAUUUAUGUAUUUUACACUAGAUAAUUAAGCAACUUUUUUUUUCAAGAGCUUCCAUAAAAUUGUGUUUGGCUAGCAAGCAACUUUUUUAAGUAGAAAAACUUAAAGUAAGUGGGCCAAACAUAGAAUCUUCUCUUCAUUACACUUUCAAAAACAGAAACUCUCAACUUUAACACACUUCUAAUUUUCAAACAAAAGUACUUCAAUCACUGAACUUUACUAUUCCAUUCAUUUUCACACUUCCAUUUUCCAAAUCAUAAACACUUCAAUCUCUCAACUUUCAUCUUCAUUCAACACAACAGUGAUGUAUUUUUCAUCCAUUUCUACUUCUCAUAACAUAACAUUGCUGAUAGAUAUUUUUGUGUUUGUUACUUACAGCUUCAACUUCUUCUCAUUCAUUCAUUCUACACUGCUGCGUUUCUACAUCAUCUACUUGCUUGAGCUUUGAGGUAAACCUAUAACUUGUGUUCCUUUUUUUGUUAUUGUCAGAUUUCAGAAAUUCAUUCAUACUUGUCUUUAGUAACUUUUAUGAAAAUUUACCAACUUUGAUUUUUCUGAAAAGUCAUAUUGUUAACUUGUUAGAUUUCAGAAAUUCAUUUAAACUUGUUUCUUUUUUUCUUUCUUUUAGGUCAACAAGAAAAAAAUGGCUUUUUUAUGAAAAUUUACCAACUUUUAUUUGAUUCUGAGUCUUCUUUUGUUCAACUAUUCAAAUUUAGAUGCAUUUUAAUCAUAAUCAGAACUAGAAUGUUUACAAACCUUGUUUAUCAUGAAGAUAAGAAAAAUUAAAAAUAAAUUUUUUCAUGAUUAAUAAGAAACAAUCCACUCAUAUGGAGGCUCCUCCUACAAAGGAAAAGAUUCAGAGCUAAUGGAGCAAAGUCCAACCAUUUACUUUAGAAACUGAUAAUAUGACUGUGUGUGUUGGAUAUAUAAGAGCACUUUAUCUUUUGAGCUUCUAGUCUCUGAAGAGUAUGCUUCUCAUGGAGAGGCUUUAGAGUUAUCUCUAGACAUGAACUCUCAUAAUAGAGAAUGAUGACAUGACACCUAAGGAAAAGAGGUCCUCUCCUCUCAGUCUGUUAUUUUUAGACAUGAACUCUCAAUCAUUCCCCAUGCCACUCACCUAAUGUCCGUUUAGCUGUUCCUAUAACCCUGUUACAAAUGGAUUUUCAUCAUAAUCAUAAUCACUUUUAAAGAGAUUCACUCAUUUUUUUAUAUGAUAAACCAAGUGUUAACAUUCUAUUUCUUCUUUUGAAUUUCAGCUACCUUCACUCAAGCCUGUAUAAUGGAAAUUCUCACUUCAGUUGGUUCAAAACUAGUUGAGUUUACGGUUGAGCCUAUUCUCAGACAAGCAAGAUAUGUGCUUUUUUUACAAGUGCAAUUUGAAGAAGCUAUCUAAAGAUUUAGAAGAUCUAGAGGCUGCAAGACAAAGAGUCAAUCAUUCCAUUGAAGAAGCUAAGUCAAAUGGCGAAGAAAUUGAGAAUGAUGUCUUAAAUUGGAUGAAAGAAGUGAAUCAAGUCAUUAACAAAGUUAACAUGCUCCACAACGAUCCAAACCAUUCCAAAGCCGGUUGCUAUCGUUGGGACUUCCCUAACUUGAUUUACCAUCGUCAUCAAUUAAGUCGAAGAGCCACCAAAAUCUCUUUAGAUGUUACCCAAAAGCUGCAAAGUGGUAAGUUUGACUGCCGUGUCGGUUACAAUCCUCGUCAUCAAGAGGAUUUUGUAUCCUUUUCCUCACCUUCACCUAAGGAUGUAUUGUUGGCAUCAAGGCGCUCAUUUCUGAAUAAUAUCUUAGAAGCUCUAAAAGACCCUAGUUCACACAUCAUCGGGGUUUAUGGGUUGAGUGGUGUUGGCAAGACCUAUUUACUGGAGGAAGUCGAUCGAUUUGCACAACAGCUGAAGCUUUUUAACUUGGUGGUUUUGGCUAAAACUUCCAAUAUUGAAUUCAUUCUGGAGGUGAUUGCCGAAGGUUUAGGUCUGAAGUUUGAUAUGCAAAGUAUUGAUGCUAGAGCAAUCCGCUUAAAGAAAAAGAUGAAAGGAAAGGAGAAUAUCCUCAUCAUUCUGGACGACAUCUGUGGUACUCUUGAUUUGCAGAAAGUGGGGAUUCCAUUUAGCAUGACAGACAGUCACACGGGGAACCAUAAUAAAAAACCAACCAAUUUCAAAUUGAUGAUGAGUUCAAAAAGUAAAGAGAAUUUAUUGAAAAUGGGCGCUCCGGAAAAUUUCACUUUCAGACUUGAACCGCUUGAUGACACGGAAUCUAUUGACUUGUUUCAAUUUAUGGUUGUAGAUGUGGUUAGAGAUCAUCGGAUAAAAAGUUUAGCACCUCAAUUAGCAUUGAAGUGUGCAGGUUUGCCUCUAGCCAUUACAACGGUCGCACGUGCAUUAGUAAACAAAGAUAUUAACUAUUGGGAAAAUGCGGUACGACAACUAGAAGAUGUUGGUCCAGAGGAGAUUGGUGCUUCAGUUUAUAUUCCUUUGGAGUUGAGUUACAACUCAUUAGAGUGCGACGAAGCGAGGACACUCCUCUUACUCAUCGCGGUAUUGGGAUUUCAAAAAGUGGAGUUCUAUUUAGAAGUGGUAAUGGGCUUAGGCGUGUUGAAAAAAAUAUAAACUGUGAGAGAUGGAAGACACCGCCUACAUGUAUUGGUUGGUUAUUUGAAAACAUCAUGUCUAUUGAGAGAAUCUGGUAAAUGUGAGAUAAUUGAAAUGCAUAAUAUGGUUAGGGAAGUAGCUCUCAACAUUGCAUCAAAAGACAAACAUGUCUUUGUGAAACGGCCGUUCUCAAAUGAUUCUAUGAGAAACUGCACAAACGAUUCUUUCAGAAACUGCUCGCAAAUUAUAUUGAAUUGUGACAUCACCUUACUUCCUCAGAGGUUAGACUGCCCCAAUCUAGAGCUUUUGGUGCUCAGCAAUUCAAAGUUUCUUUUAGAAAUUCCAGAUAAUUUCUUUGAGGGGAUGGUAAAACUGAAAGUGUUGCAUUUAACCAAAUUCAAUUUGUGCCAAUUACCAUCUUCUCUUUGCUGCCUUUCAGAUCUUAGGUCAUUGUCAUUGUUUUUAUGUGUUUUGGAAAAUAUGGAGGGAAUAGGAGCUUUGACAAAUUUACAAUUUCUUAACUUCUUUGGUUCUUCACUUAUCUCAUUGCCAAGCCAAAUAGGGGAGUUGAUUCACCUUAAAACACUUGAUUGUAACCAAACUGGACUCCAAGAGAUCCCACCCAAUAUUUUAUCAUGCUUGACUGAACUGGAGGAGUUGAAGUGCAGGAACUUCAUUAUAUGGGAAUCCAAUGGUACAGCUUCUGAGAUGGAAAGUCCUGAUUUGAGGCAAUUGUCAAACCUUGCUGAGUUGAGGCAAUUGUCAAAGUUGACAACUCUUGAGUUAAUGGUUGGUACUGAUGAUUUUCCACUAGAUUUGCAAUGGAUGUUUAAGAAAUUGGAAAGAUUCAAAAUUCAUUUUUGCUAUCAUCUAAUGGAAUUUUAUUCUGAAACCUUGAAUACAUUGCACAUCUGUUGUACUAAUGCACACAUUGAGGAACUAAUGAAAAGAGCUGAAGCUUUAUUUUUAAAUCACUCCUCCUCAAUGGCCCUUGAGAAUGUUAAUCAACUCAAUAGUGACGGAUUUCCUUUGCUGGAAGUUCUUCGCAUCAGGUUUGAUAGUUCAUUGAAACGCAUAGUUGACACACAUUUGGGCCAGAUUUUCUUUCCCAACUUGGAAAAGUUGGAAAUUUUCGGUCUAUCGAUGUUGGAGGAGAUAUGUCGUGGUCCCGUUGCACCUAAUUCUUUUCGAAAGCUCACCACUAUAGAGGUCAUCAAUUGUUUUAAAUUGAAACACCUUCUAUCUCCAUCAUUGAUCAAGGAGCUUUCACAACUUGUGAAGAUCCAUGUCUCUGGAUGCGGUUCUCUGGAAGGCAUUGUAUUCUUAAAUGACAAUUAUGCAAGUGUAGAUAAUGAAAUUAUCGAGUUUGUUUCGUUGAAGACAUUGGAAUUGGAUCAUUUACAUAAGCUUGAUAAUUUCUGCUAUUAUAAUUCGGGGUCUUCUGAGAUAACUGAGUAUCAAGGGUUGGAGCCUUUAAGUUCUGCACUGUUUAACAGCUCUCAGGUUUGUUUUUUAUUUUCAUUUUAACCUUUAUACUAAAAUAAAUGAUAGGAUUUUAAUUUAAUGACAUGCAGUAUACACCAACUAAUUUCAAUAUUUAAUGUAGCAGCAAUGUAUGAUGAGAAUUAUCUACUUUAUAUAUAUGUGAUCAUCGGCUAUAAUCUUAGAAGGUUACAAAUGAUUAUAGGAGUGGGUCAGUUUGGCAAAAUAAAAAACUGAAAGUAAUAAAACUAGAACUCAGAGUUGAAAAAUAAUUGACGGAAGGUUCACCGACCUAGACUCUGAGGAGUGAGUCCAAUUAUAUAAUAUAAUAAGGUAAAAGAGUAAGUAUUCAUACAUUCACAAAGGUUCAAAUAUGGGUCAUUGUAAAAAUUCAUCAAUGUUUUAUUACUUUUAAAUUUUCUGAUUGGAUCCUUGUAUGUCUCAGUGAGAAACUGAAUCUCCGGGAUUAGGGAUUUAGAGUUCCUCUGUUCUUGCCAAGUUUGAGUGAAUGAUUUUGUGGCUCUUUAUUUAGUGAAACAGUUCGCGGAACCGAACUGUACUGUGUAACAGUUUGGUUAGUGAAUUUUUUUCUAAAAAUCUGGUUUGGUUCAAGUCUUGAACUUCAAGAACUUCGAUCACAAAUUCAAUUAUUUAAACACCAAUAUACAGUAUAAUUUGGUAACUAUUUUUUUUUACAUAUACUAGUAUAAAAACUUUUUCCCCCUUGUGAAUUUUUAUAUAAGUAGUGUGAUAAAAUGCCCAGAAGGCAUGUAUGGAUUUUGGAUGAGUGAUGCAUCUCCAAAGUUAUAAUGCUUGUCAUAAUAAACCUUUAAUCAUGAUUUUAAUUAACAUGUUUUUAUGUAGGUUGCAUUUCCUAAUUUGCAUUCCCUUACAUUGAGCAAACUAGAUGUUGAAAAUUUUUGGGAUGACAAUCAACAUAUUACUAUGUUCAACUUGAAAACUUUGAUCGUGCGGGACUGUGAAAAUAUUAAGUACUUAUUUUUGUCUACCAUGGUUGGAAGUUUUAAAAACCUUAGACAACUGGAAAUUAAGAACUGUCGUUCAAUGGAGGAGAUAAUAGCUAAAGAAAAGGCAAACAGUGAUGUUACUGCAUUGGAAGAGGUAUGGUGAUCUUACUUUAUGGAAGUUCAUGUUUUGAUUGUAUUUUAAAUAAAUAUUUGAUAUAAUAUUCAUGAUUUCAUAAAAUGUGAAUUAUAGGUUCUAUUUUCCGAAUUGAAGUCUGUUACAUUAACAGACAUGAAAAACUUGAAGACAAUAUGGCACUUCCAAUUUGACAAGGUGGAGAGCUUGGCGGUAAAAAAUUGUGAAUCCCUCGUGGUGGUUUUUCCUUCUUCAACACAAAAUAGAAUUUGCAAUUUGGAGCGGUUAAAGAUUACAGAUUGUCCUUUAGUGGAAGAGAUAUUCAAAUUGACUCCGAGUGACCAAAGGCGUAUAGAAGACACGACUCAGUUGAAAUAUGUUUUUUUAGAAACAUUACCAAAGCUAAAAAAGAUAUGGAGUAUGGAUCCUAAUGGAGUUCUGAAUUUUCAUGAUCUAGAAGAACUACAUAUACAUCAGUGUGGAAGCUUGGAGCAUGUAUUUCCUCUUUCUGUAGUCAUUUGCUGCUCCAAGCUCAACCAUCUUUGUAUAGGUGAUUGCAAGGAAAUUGUUGCAGUUAUAGAGAAUGAAGAAUUUAUAUUUAUAACUCAACAAUUUGAAUUGAAUGCCUUGAACACUCUAACUUUUAAGGACUUACCGAAGCUCAAAGGCUUUUAUGAAGGAAAAUAUACUCUUGCAUGUCCAUCUUUGGGAGUGAUGACUGUUUUAGGCUGUCCUAGUUUGACUGUAUUUAAAACUCAGGAGCCUCUGAUGCUGCUUCAAGAACCACUUUUCGUUGUUGAAGAGGUAUGUAUCAUAAAUAUUAACAUAUGAUAACAAUUUUCUUGAAAAGAACACAUGUUUAGGGCUUUGUAUUUUAUAAUGAAAUACCGAACAAUUAUAGUUGUAUUCAAUUGUUUAAUUUCGAACGAUUUAAAACAGUCUGCGAGCAAUGGAAGAAAGUUUCACAUUGAAAAUUGAAUGAGUCAAUUUAUCAGAUAUUUUUCACAUGUAAACCUUCAUCAAAUUGAAACUUAUUUUAAAAGUUUCUUUAAAACCUAACAUUUAAUUAUAACUGUAAUGGAUAUUUGGAUUUAAAAGAAAUUGAGUAAAGUGCGGAGGUAAUGGUAAAAAAGAAGUUUCAAACAUAUUUGACUGAAAAAAUAACAUUCAUUGAGUUAAUAUUAAAUACUCAGUUUUUUUAAAUUGUGCUUUAUGUAUGUUUUAGGUGAUUCCGCAUCUGGAGAGGUUAGACAUAAUGAUAAAGGAUGCUAACUUGAUGAUAUCGCAAACCGAAAACAUUGGUUCUCUUGUCACCAAUUUGAAACAUAUAGGCUUGUAUAGGUCUGAGAAUGAAGAGGAGGCAUUUCCUCGUGAGCUUCUCCAAAGUGCAUGUAGUCUUGAAUCAUGUUCCUUUGAGAAAAUAUUCCUAGAUGACAGACUAUUAAAUGAGGAGAUUCGGCUAAAAAGUUUGAAGCUUUCCCAUUUACCUAAAAUAUAUGAAGGACCCCACCUACUUCUUGAGUUUAUUGGACACCUCGCAGUUGAAUAUUGUCCUAGUCUUACAAACUUGAUUCCUUCAUGUGCUUCUUUUAAUAGCUUAAUAUCUUUGGAGAUUACCAACUGCAAUGGACUGAUAAGUUUAAUUACAUCUUCCAUGGGGAAAAGUCUUGGCAAGCUUGAAGUGAUGAAGGUGAAAGGUUGUAACUCACUUGAAGAAAUCAUUACAGUAGAGAACAAUGUUGAUGUUGGAUUACUACUUAAUUUGGAAGUAUUGGUGUUGGAUAGUUUGCCAAACCUUAACAAGUUUUCUAGCUCUAAGUCCCGCAUUUACCUUCCAUUGUUGGUGGAGGUAGAGGUAAGUGAAUGUCCUCUCCUCAAGAUUUUCUCCGAGGGAAUGCUGAGCACUCCCAAUCUUUGGGACAUCAAAAGAGGAGAGUUGUAUUACCCUUUGGUUGGGAGCCUAAACAAUACAAUAGGGGAUAUUUUUAUAUUUGAGGUAUGCAUCAAUUUAGAAACUGAUUUCUUAUUAACAAUAUGUUUAUUCUUUUUCAUUAUUAGCUAAAAGAAAAAUAUUCAGACAGAAAAUUAUUUAUUUUUAUUUCAAUCUAAAUGUGUCUAAAAAUCAUUUAUGUUGAGUACUUUAAAAAUAAAAUUGUGAAUCUCUUGAGCAAGCAUUAUUAAAUAGUUAUUUACAUGCUUAUUUUUAACUAGUUCUAUCACUUUGUCAACAGGAAUUUUGUCGUUCAGAGGAACGUCGUUUACGUUCUGAUGAGCGCUGAGUCCUUCACAUUUGUAAUGUGAAGCCUUCCGAGGUGAGACUUGUCAUUUAAGUCACAAGUGAUGAAGAGUUUGAUGCUAUUGAAAUAUUAUCCUCUUAUAUAAACAUUCUUUUUUAGUAGAAAAUGUUUUUCUCACAGUUGUGUUAUUUUAAAACUUGGAAUUUUUUAUUUUAUUUUUUCUUCUCCAGGGGAUGAGGAGGAAAAUAAACCCCGGAAGGAUAGUAACAAUCCUCACUACCCUAAAACCUCUCUCGUUGCUGCAUAUCCAGAAUCAAAGAAAGUUAGUCUUUUGUCCAUUGUUCGAUCAAUGUAUGGUAUUUUUUUUUUAGGCCGGGUAUCUUUUACGCUAAUUAGUUCUUCCACUGGGUUGAGGAAUUUGGAGAAUAAUCAGUUCAAGAGAGCCAACACUUGUGGUUGUGAUAGCUUUGAGGUCAAUGGCUGAUAAUAAUGGUGCCGUUGAAUUGGAAGAGUUUGUUUUAAGUGACAUAAGACCCAUCUCUUGAGAGAAUUGUCGGAAACUGCACGGCAGCAGCAAAAUGAAUCUAGUCUCUAGACGGUAAUACAAAUUAAAAUUAGCAAUUAAUUGCUAACAGUAGUGCGAAUGUGAAUGGUGAUAUGGCUGCUGUGAUGGGUAGGCCAGUUUUGAGGCCCAUGUCUGAUAUGGUGACACUCACAUGUGAGGGUUACGACCAAUGUUUUCUAUCGAUGCAUAGACUCCCACUGGGGAAAAAUGCAUCAGGGAGUAGGAUCUUGAUGCUUUACAGAAUAAGAAAUUGUUUAGAGAGAUGCAAAAAUCUAAAACCGGUGAGGAGCUUUUGGAUCUAAUUCAUCUGGCAGACCGCAAGGGAGACAGCUGUAGCUGCUAAGGUUCAAACUCAGUGCUUACUUUAAUAGGUAAUACACUCAAAUUCCACUUGUGAUUAUUCAUAGAUUUUAUUACACUAUGACAUUUAUAUAUUUUAAUCUAAUUCAGCUUGUUUACAAUGUGUUCUUUCAGUUCAAAACUAAAGAUGGAUAUCAGGUGAGGCAACACUGUGACUGACUGAUGAAAGAAGUUUAUCGACGCCGGACCGGUUCCUUUGUAGCAUGUGAUAAGGUUAAUGACAAAACAAUAUUUUAUUGGCUUGUUAUUUCGUUUCUCUAGUUUCAUUUCUAACUUAUUCACUAUGUAUUGGUUUGAGCUGGCAUACUAAGACAUGUGGUUUUCAACUAACUAAACUUUGAAAUUUGGUACGAUCAUUUCUAUUUAGCCUUUUCUGAUGUGCAUUUUUCUUAUCCUUUUCUUGGCAGGUUCAUUUUAGAUGAAUCAUUUCUCUUUAUACCAACAUUAAUUUAGGAGACUUCUCUUUUAAUGAUACUGGCCGUCACAUGAAGGUAAGGUUUUUACCUCUGAAAUUUUAUUUAUGUCGACUUUUUUGUUCUUCCAUUUCGGUUCUGUUUGUGAUAGGUUUCAGCUGUGCUCUUUUUUUUUUUUUUUUUUUUUUUUUUUAGAAUGGACGAAUUAGGUAAGUUUGGAGUAAUAAUGGCUGAUCCACCAUGGGACAUUCACAUUGAGCUGCCUAUGGAACAAUUGCCGAUGAUGAAAUGCGCACUCCUAAUGUCCCUGCUGUGCAAACUCCUAAUGACACUGAUGUUAUUGUUGCUGAAUUCCGGGAAACAAUCAAUCAACAUAUAUACCGGUAACAACCAUAAUCAUGACGCUUAAUCCUAUCUCUUGAAAAUCAAAGACUACUGAGAUGAGUUGGUGCUGAAAAGGUAGAGAAAAAGCACGACAUGAAGUUCACAGUUCCUAUUGUGCUCUUUCCUUUUCUCUAUUGUCAUGUGCUCAUAAAAUAGCAUAGCAGAUUAGAAGUUACUUUGACCAACUCUCACCCUCUAUUGGAGGCUCUAGAUGAGAUGUAUUGUACUCAAAAUUAAAGUUGCUAACGAACAUUAAUCUUAGAUGGCAUGGCAAACAAACGGGUAACACAACAAAUAAAAAAUAUCACUUAAGAAACAAUUCUUAACUUGUGUAACUAAUAUUACAGACAGGUUUGUUUUGUUUGAACUCAGUCGCUGGCAGCUUAGAGAAAUGUCUUUCUUAGCUUGUCGGGUUGUAUUUUGAAGCGGCAUAAAAAUUCAAGGAUUGCUCCAAAAUAACGAAGUCACAAAUGUUUAUUAAAUAGGAAAAACAUUGAAAAAACCAUUUCAAACAAAAAAAAUGUCUUUGAAACUAUAUUUUAGGUUCAGGAGUCGGCUAUGCGAAGGAAAUGUAUUAGCAUCCUAUGACAUCCAUUCAAAACGGUUACCUCUAAUUAAUCAUGCAAGAUUUGUUAACUUCUAAAAUAUUGAUUUCUCCUUAUUAUUAAAUGCAAAUUGAAAUUAAGUUUUUAAAUAUAAAAUACAAUGUGCUUAAAUAGAAGAGACAAAAAUGGUUUUGUUAUUAUUGUGUUUGACAAGAAUUUGAUCUUGCUCCUACGCAUUUCCUGGUGCGAUAGAGAGAAUUCAAAGCUACAUAGUUCUAGGUAGAAAAUGUUUCUUUGUUGGUUGAUUUUAAAGAAAAUGUUUUUGUUGUGGCAAGCACGAGUAAAAAAAAAAGAUUGCGAACAAUUGAUUAUGAUCAGUUUGAUUGGUUUUAUAAACGAGUUUGAAAACGAAAGUUGUACAAUUUAUGUUCUGAGAACUCAAGGAUUACAGAGAUCUCCAUCCAAAUAACCGUCUUAGAACGAUUUGAUUCGGAAGUGAGUUUGAGAACAAUCAAGUCGUACAACUUGUGUUCCUGGAGGAUUAAAGAGAUAUACAUUCAAUUAAUCCUAUUAAGAUGAUUUAUUUGUUAUUAAAAAUUAUUCUGAAAUUGAGCAUUCAAAACGAUCAAGUUGUGCAACUUGUGUUCCGAAAACUCAAUGAUUAAAGAGGUUAUUUGAAAUAUUAAUGAUUAAAGAGAUGUACAUCUAAUUAACCCCCCUAUAAGAAAUUAAAAUAUUUAAUGUUUUUGGAUUACUUUACUAAAGCGCAAUAAAAAUAUCAAAACUUAAAUAUGUUAAAUGUUGUUUAGAUGGGAAUUUGCAACAGAUAAGAUGGAUUGACAUUGCUGGGGCCUGGGAUCAUUUCGGUCCAAUCCAAACGCCUAACUCAAAUGAACAAGCAUCUUACAAUAAUAAUAAGGAAUAAUAGAUUUAUUCAUGUAAAAACUAGGCAUAAUAGAUCUAGGUACUGGCUUUGUCCCCGUAAACUUCUCAGUUGGUAAGGACAAUACAUAAAAGAUGCAAGAUCGGGGGUUCGAAUCCCGGACACACCCAAAAAAGAUCUAGGCACUGGCUUUGUGAUGGUGAAGUUAGGGUGAAUGAAGGUUGGUUUGUACUACUAGCUUUGUGUGAUUUGCUUAGUAUGUUGAGAAUGGAGGUGAUAACUUGGCUCUCCAUAUUUUUUUGACUCUCUUUUCUUUUGUAUUAGUUUUCACUUUCGGUCCUCUCUUGUUUGCUUUUGUUUGGAUUUUCAGCCUCCCUUAUUUAUAGUCAAGAAUUAGGGUUAGCAAGACUAUUGAGAUUGUGACAUGUGACUAAGAUUUGCUCAAUAUGAAAGGAUUCAAAAGCAAAGAGGAAAAGAAGGGUUGUAUCAUACUGGAAGAGGAAGGAUUUGUUGCUGUUGCUCUGCCAUGCUGUGCUAGUGCUACUGCUCAGUUUUUUAUUUUAGUUUUUAAGUUAUAUAUAUCAUUUAUUUUGUUUGAUGCAACCAAAUAUAAUUGGAUUCCUAUGUAAUCGGCUGCACUUAAGAAAAUAACUCUUAUUUUUAUGUAUUUUUUUCCUUAGAUUUUUAUGAUUUAAUAUGGUAUGAUGAUAAGAUAUGAUAACAAGGUUUCUGAACAUUGUUUUGAUUAUGAUUUAAACCCACACUUUCCAGGUUUAACAAGUAGCACUCAUCUUCUUCAAAAAAAACAAGUAGCACUCAUAAAUCAUGGUAUGAAUGUGAAGAAAAAACAAUGAUAUAAUUACUCUUUUUGAAAUGCUAUCCAUUUUAUUUAUAUUUUAAAACUAUUUAUCAUCCUAGUCAACAAUUAAUUGUUCAUAAAUAGAACUUAAGUCACAUAAUGGUUAAAUAAAGCAGAGAGAUCUAAACAGUUAAGCAAUCAUCAUAUAUACCGAAAACAACCAUAAUCCUAUCUCUUGAAAAUGAAAGAUUACUGUGAAAAGGUAGAGAAAGAGCAGAAUAUGAUGCUCACGGUUCCUAUUGCGCUAUUCCCUUUCGCUAUUGUUAUCUGCUCACAAAAUAGCAUAACUUUGACUAACCCUCACCCUCUACUGAAGGCUCUAGAUGAGAUGUAUUGUGCUCAAAAUCAAAGUUGCUAACGAACAUUAAUCUUAGAUGGCAUGGCAAACAAACAGGUAGCAAUACAAAUAAAAAAUACCACUUCAAAAAAAAUGAUCACUAUUAAAAAUCAAUCACUUUUUAAAAAACUACCAGAGUCCUUAAAAAAAAAAAUUACCAGAGAAAAGUUACUAAAUCACUUGUUUAAAAGAAAUUUAAAAUAAUCUAGAACGAACAAACAAACAAAAGGGUAGCACUACAAAAAAUAUUGCAGACAGCAUUCCAAAAAAUUAUGAUGUGAAGAAACCAAGGGAACAUAAAGGGGUAAUAUAAUAGUAAAAUUUGGUUUGAUUUAAAUUAUAUGAAAACUCCAAUCAAGUAAAAGCAACAAAGCUAAGGAAAGAGAGCAUAAUUGGAGUAGUUUUUUAGUUUCAAUCUAGAGAAAUAUAUAAAAGGAGAAACACAAUAGAGAGGUUAAGUCAAUAACCGAAGGCCAUUGAACUCAAUCGUGAAAUAAAAGAAAAUCAUUAAAUAGCAUAAGAAUCACAAGCCAGUUGCCUAUAUUUUAAAAUAAAAGAAAGAAAAGAUGGUCCUUCAAAAAAAAAAAUGGUAAAAAUAAAAAAAAGGAAAAGAGGAAACUCUGGAUAAGAGGAAAAAAAUCCAAGAGAAAGCAAGUGGUGGUGUAUUAAGAGGAGCAAGUUUUUUUUUGCCACUCUUCUUCUCCUCUACCUUGUUAAGUACUUUAAAAAUAAAAUAUUGAGGAACGUCAUUUACAUGCUUAUUUUUAACUAGUUCUAUCACUUUGUCAACAGGAAAUUCGUCAACUCCGAGUCUAUGUCGCUCAACCUUCCUACCAUUUAUUUCUCAACUCCGAGUUCUAUUUUUAUUACUUUCAGUUUUAUAUUUUGCCAAACUGACAGACUCCUAUAUAUAAUCAUUUGGUACUUUCCAAGAUUACAGCUGAUGUUGACAUAUUUUCAAAGUAGAUAUUUCUCAUCCUACAUUGCUGCUAGCUUAAAUAUCUAUGUUAAAAAUGUUAAGUUGCAAAAUUUAUCAUUUUAUCGACAAAUUGGUUGGUGUAUGUCAUAAAUUUAAAAUCCUAUAUUUUCUUUAAUAUAAGGUUAAAAUAAAAAUAAAGAACAAAAUAGUAGAAAUUAUAAAAUUUGUGCAAAUGGUUCAACGAAACAAACUUAAGAAUUUCACUAUCUACACUUGCAUACUUGUCAGUUAACAAUACAAUGCCUUCAAGAGCACUACAACCAACAACAGAUGGAUCUCCACAAUCUGUGACUUUUAUGAGUGUGAGCUUUCUAAAUGAAUUAGGUGCAAGUGGACCAGGACAGAUCUCCUCCAACUGUAUAGCUUCUUAAAUUUCCAACUCUUCCAAGAUGGGAUAGGAAACUUGGCCAAAAUGUCUUCCAUAGAAUCAACAUGUGUUUCCGUGUUGAAUAUAACUUGAAACAAAGAGUUUUCAGUAAGUUAAAUCCUUCACCGUGGAGUUUAUGAACAUUCUCGACAUUAAUUCCAUCAAGUAAAAGCAAGGCUUCAGCUCUUUUUAUUAGAUCCUCCAAGAGAACAAGGUUACCAUUGAGUGUCAAUGUAUUCAAGGUUCCAAAAUCAAAAUUGUUGCUAUAAUUUUCAAUCUCAAAUUUCUCCAACUUCUUAAACAUCAAUUGCCAAUCUCUUGAAAAAUAAUUAAUAUGAACUUUUAACUCGAGAGAUGCCAACUUGGACAAUUGCCCAAAUUCAGCGUUUUCUUUCUCAAAAUUACACUCUUAAAUCCCCACUCAAAGAGGCUACUGUUAUUCAACUCCUCCAAUUCAGUCAUGCUUGAUAAGAUAUUAGCUAGGUGGGAUCUUUUGUAGUCGAUAUCGAUUGCAAUCAAGUGUGUUGUGUCAGGUUAAUGCCCCCUAUUUUUGGCUUGACAAUGUGAUCAUUUUUUAAGAAGUUAAGAAAUUUAAUUUGUCAAAGAUUAUAUUCCAUCCAUGUUUUCCACAACAUAGACACAAAGACGUUGACUUUCGAUAGGAACGAAAGAGAAGUAGAAAAAUUUGUAUAGCUUGAAUUUGGUUAAACACGACACUUUUAGUUUUAGUAUUCCCUCAAAUAAAAUAUUUGAAAUUUCUAGAAAUAUAAUAUAAUUUCUUUCUGAACACAAAAAGCUCCAACUAUGGGCCUCUAAAUUCUAAGGAAGCACAAUGAUAUUUCUGUUAUUCAAGAUGACGUUCAAGGAGUUUUUCAGAGAAUCAAUUGUCUACCAUUUCACAAAGACAUGUUUGCCUUUACAUGCAAAUAAAAACAAACAUGUCUUUGUGAAAUGACACAAAAUGAUUAUCUGAGAAACUGCUCACAAAUCAGCUCUUCCAAUUCGGUCAAGCUUGAUAUAAUAUUGGUGGGAUCUCUUAUAGUUGAUAUUGAUUACAAUCAAGCGUGUUAAGUUGAGUUAAUGCCCCUAUUUUUGGCUUGACAAUGUUAUAUAUCAUCGAAGACCUAACGAAGUUAAGAACUAUAAAUUUGUCUAAACUCCUAUUUCAUCCUUGUUUUCCAAAACACAGACACAAAUGACCUUCCGAUGUGGACCAAAGAGAAUUGAGAAAACUUGCAUUGGUCGGUUAAACACAAUACUUUUAGUCUUAACAUCCCCUCAAAAAAAGUAUUUGGAAUUUCUAGAAAUAGAGUAUAGUUUCUGAACACAAAAAGCUCCAAACAUUGGCGGUCUAAAUUCUGAGGAAGCACAGUGAUAUGUCAGUUAUUCAAGAUGACUUUGUAGGAUUUUAUCAGAAAAUCAUGAUUUGACCAUUUUACAAAGACAUGUUUGUCUUUGCAUGCAAGCAAAUAAAGACAAACAUGUCUUCGUGAAAUGGCCACUAAUGAUUCACCAAGAAACCGCUUGCAAAUCAUCUUCAAUAAAUGUGAUAUCAUACUAUGUUUCUUCAGAAUCUAGACUACCCUUUUUUGGAGCAUUAUGUGUUCAACAAUUCUGAUUUUUUUUUUUUAAAUUCUAAAUACUUUAUUUGAGGGGAUUUUAAAACUAAAAGUGUUGUGUUUAACCAAAUUCAAUUCUUGUCGAUUUCCCAGUUCUCUUCUGUCCAUAUAAGAACGUUAUUGUCCUCGUUUCUACGUGUUUUGGAAAAUAUGGAUGGAACACGAGUUUUGAAAAAUUUACAAUUUCUUAGCUUAUUUAAGAGUAAAGCUUUCGAGAACGAAAAUGCUAAGCUUGUUGAGUUUGAGCAGUUGUCCAAGUUGACAGCUCGAGUUUAAAGUUCAGAUUGAUGAUUUUUCAAGAGACUUGCAAGUGAUAUUUAAGAAGUUAGAGAAUUUCAAAAUUCAAAUUGAAAGUUAUAGUAACAAACUUUAUUUUGGAACCUUGAAUUCAUUGACAAUUAAUAUAUCGUAAUGGUGAAAAUUGAGGGGAGGAACUAAUAAAAAGAGUUGAAGCAUUGAUCUUACUUGAUGUAAUUAACGUCGAGAAUGUCCAUGAAUUCAAUGGUGAAGGAUUUCCAUCACUGAAAAUUCUGUGUCAAGUUAGAUUCGACGGUGGAACACAUGAUAGUUGACUUUAUAUGGAAAGGAGUUUGGGUCAGCUUUCCUUUCCCAACUGUAUACAGUUGGAAGAGAUAGAUUAUACUGGACUGUAUAUCUAAAUGAGAUACAAUUGGAAAGCUCACCAUCAUAAAUGAGAAAAUAUGUUGCUUGAUAAUAGGCUCAAUAGUUAACUUUGUUGGUUUUGAACCAACAGAAUUGAGGAUAUACAUUAUACUGAGGUUGAGUGAAUCUUUCUGAAAUUCAAAAGAAGAAAUAGAAUGAUAAAUAUAAAUUAUUGAUCAAAAUCAUAUAAAAAAAUAAGGGAAAUUAGAUUAAAUGUGAUUAAAACCAAAUGUUGCAGAUGUGUAAACAAAAUAACACAACACACAGGGGAAACUAGAGAUAACGAUUUGAUCCACUAAAGAAGAAAGACUUCUAAAUAUUGUUUCGAUUAUGAUUAAAACUCACACAUUCCAAGUUUUCUAAAAAUUGUUUUCCUAACUAGGAAAAAAAUUACUUUUUUUUUUCAUAACGGAAUCAAUAUAAAGAAGAAAGAAAGAAAAAAAAGGUGAUAUGAUAUGAUAACAAGGUUUCUAAACAUUAUUUUGAUUAUGAUUUAAAUACACACAUUUCAAGUUUAACAUUGAGCACUCAUAAAUCAUGUUAUGAAUGUGAAGAAACAAUGAUAUAAUUGCUCUUUUUGAAAUACUAUCCAUUUUAUUUAUAUUUAGAACUAUUUAUCAUCUUAGUCAAUAAAUAAUUGUUAAUCAGUAGAACUUAAGUCACAUUGUUGCGAAUUCGAUGAAAAUCACACCAAUAACAACUUGAUGUGUGGAGCAAGGGAUAAUCAAGCAACUAAAACAAAGUGUAUGGAACAAUUAAAUACAAGCCAAAAGUAGAAAAACAACGGCGAGAAGAACACAAAGAAGAGAAGAACACAAAAGAAUUUGUUGACCCAGUUCGGUCCAAAUUGACCUAGUCUGGGGGAGAGAGCAGCCCUCCGAUCCACUAUAUGAUGAGUAACGUUACAAAAGAGAAAUCAAUGGGUUACAAGAAUAAGUCUCCCGCCUAAUUCUACCCAAAGUCCCAGCCUCUUCCCGUAACCAAGAGACUCAAUCCUAAUAGUGUUUCCCAAGGUGAAUCAACCCACAAACCCUAGUGUUUGUUCCGAAGAGACAAACUCUAUACAAACCCUAGUUUUGUUGUUGCCUUUCUAAACCCUUGUUUCAGCCCCCUCUAUCUCUCUCAAAGUUUGCUUUGAUACAAAGUCUAUAUUUAUAGUGAAAGUAAUCCCUUAAAAAACUGAAACAAAUCUUCAAUAAAAAUACGUUUUAUUUUUAUCUUCAAUCGCACCAUCGUGGCACGAUUCGAUCCAAUCUUGGCACGAUUUUUUUAGUGAUUGUUCCAGAAUUUUGCUUCAACAAUCGUGGCACGAAGCUUCUCCAUCGUGGCACGAUUCUCCAGAAUUCUGAUUUUAAGUUAACUCUGACACACAUAAUAAUGGUUAAAUAAAGCAGACACAUUUCAACACUUAAGAAAUCAUCAUAUAGACCGGAAAAAACCAUAAUCCUAUCUAUUGAAAAUGAAAGAUUAGUGAGAUGAGUUGAAAAGGUAGAGAAAGAGCACAAUAUGAAGCUCACAGUUCCUCCUAUUGUUCUCUUCCCUUUCUCUAUUGUAAUUUGCUCAGAAAAUAGAAUAGCAGAUGAGAAGCAACUUUGACUAACCCUCUAGAAGGCUCUAGAUGGGAUGUGUUGUGCUCAAAAUCAAAGUUGCUAACGAACGUUAAUCUUAGAUGGCAUGGCAAACACACGGGUACAAGUAAACAAAUAUCACUUCAAAAAAAAAAAUUAUCAUCACUUUUUUUUAAAAAAAAUACCCGAGAAAAUUUACUAAAUUUUCAUAAAAAAUCAUUUUGUAAGAAAAAAAUCACUUGUUUAAAAUAAAUUAAAAAAAAUCUUGAACGAACAGACAAACAAAGGGGAAGCACUACAAAAAACAUUGCAGCUAGCAUUCCAAAAAAUUACGAUGUGAAGAAACUCACAUCAAAUAAAAGCAACAAAGGUAAAGAAGGAAAGCAUAAUUGGAAUAGUUUGUUAAUAAAAAAAAAAAGAUGGCAAAGUAAUAAAUGGAAAAGAGGAGACUCUGGAUAAGAGGAAAAAAUCAAUGAGAAAGCAAGUGGUGGUGUCUUGAGAGGAGCAAGUUUUUAUUUUGCCACUCUCUUGUCCUCUACCUUGUUUUUAUACUAGUAGAUAUCUAGGUUGAACGCCACUUUUUAAUGAAGAAAAUUCCAAAAUGAAAUGUGUAUCAUGUGUUUGGUAGAGGGAGAGUCUUGCUUCUUCACGUUAGUAAAGGACAGACAGAGUGGUUGAGAAACUAGAACAAAGGAAAUGAGUUUUUGAGAAAAACGGUUCAGAAGUAGAAUGUACAUACUCACAAACAAGCAUCCAAUGCCAUGACCGAUGUGCCUAUUGAAAUCCGUGAAAUUAGUCUCCGAACUAUAUGAAAUAUGUCUAUUACUCUCUAGUAACUCUUGUCAAUAUAUAACAACAAUGUACAUUUACUACAUUUUCCUUAUCAAGUAUUGAUAUAUUUACUUUGACUAUAAAUGUAAAGUGAAAUAUAUUGAGUUGGAAAUGGUACAUGAAUUAUCUAGGAGUGUCCACAAUCCAUUUACACGACCUAUUCAUAGCGCCAAUUAUAACAUAAACACUAACACUCCAAAUAAACAAUUCUCAUAGUAUUUGUUCCAUCCCCAACUCUUGCAAGUAAACUAGCAGAGUACUAAUUAAAAGGUAGAUUGCAAUUUUAUAUGAUUUAUAAUAAGAAUAGAAUUUCUCUAAUGUGCAUAAAUUAUACAUGUACAAGUAUGUUUCCCAUUAACGGAUCAAUAAGUCUCAUCGUAUCUUAUUUGAUCCAGUGAUUAGAAUUAUUGAUAUAAUGGUGGACAUAGAUUUGUGUCCGGUGCAAGAUUUAUCUCUCUUGUACACCAUUGAAUUCUCAGAGUUAAAUUAUUUCGCAAAAAGUAAAAUGCAUUUGCUAUCAUAGCUCUUAAGUACAAAAUUAUUUAAUUACAUUACCAUCCCCACUUAAAUUGAGUAUUCCAAAAACUUAUCUUUCCACAGAAGGAAAGAAAAACAAGAAAAGAGCACAAACUAAAAAUGGUACAAAGGACAAAAUAUUGUGUCUUCCUCAAGCUUUAUGAAAGAAUUUUCCCUACGAAAAUCAUAUGAUUGAAUUGGUAGAAACUUGGUGUCCACAUCAAUUUCCAUUGCUGCUCCUCUGAAGCAGAGGUAGUUGCUGGAGCUACAAGCCCAGCAAACUGUGUUGCAGUCGAUUUUGAUGUGCCGGCAAAUGGACCCCUUGUUUGAGCAGCAACACUAGAGUCUACUUCCAUAGAAGAAGCUCUAAGAGGUGAUGCUGGCUGCACCUCCACAUCUAAAUAAGCUGCCUUUAAACCUUUCCCGCACCCAUCAACCGACCUUACACACUCAACUGUGAAUGGGAGAUUGGGAGCCAACAAUUCCAGCUUUCUUGUUAUUGGACUUGUCCUCUCCAACAAAGGAUACAUCUGAAAGAUUUAACAAUCAUGAAUGUGGAGAGGAAAAGUGAAAAAAAUAACACACACGCACACACACACACACACCCAUAAAACAUGUGAAUGGCUUUUAGUAAAUUUGUUUUGUCUUGGCCAGGCUUAUUACAAUGUAACACAAUUUUUUUUCUUGGAUAAAGAUAAAACCGGAUUAUAUAGAGAAUAUGAUGUAAAACUUUGAAACCAGAAAAUUAUAGAUACAUUUUCAAUGACUACUGUUAACUAUGUUUUUCAAAGUUAGGCAAAGCAUUGAGGGGCAUAAUUAACUAUAAAGACCUUGGUGGAUAUACAAACCUCGUCUCGCUUGCCGCUUGUUUCCCGGACUUAAGCAACCAUAGCAUCAGGGUCAAUGUUUUUGUUUACUUCAAGACCACCUUUCAAUCCAAAAAGACAAUGUUCCUUGCAGUGAUUGAGCCAAUGGCCCGUACGUCCAUUUAUAAUUAUUCGGUGAAAUUAGUUUGUUUUCACCAAAAUGAUCUCCUCAACUUGUUUAUAUCCCCAAAGUUCUAAGCUGCAGAGAACAAUGGUGUACAUGCAAGCCAAAUACAAAUUAUUAGUAAAAAGAAGCCUCAAUAUUAUUUUGGUUAUGCUAACCAAAUAACUUUUUUUUUCUUCAAAUGAUAGGGAAAAUUAGCAUUAGACCAAAUAUAUGCAUAAAUACCUUUCUCGUUCAAGUUCCAUUGCACAUCCAUUGAUCCAUAGAAAAAUAAGCCAAUGUAUUUAUAGAGCCGGACAUUAAGAGCGCGCAUUUCAUCAUCAGUCAUUGUUCCAUAAGGCAACUCCAUGUGAAUGUCCCACAGUUGAUCCAUUGUGGUUCCCCAAGUUCAUCGGUGUUGGAGGCAUACUCAUAGUGAACGUACUUGCAUAACUAUAAAAGGACAAAAAAACAAAAAGAGAGAACAGCUCAAAUUUGUGACGAACAUAACCAAAUGGAUAAAAAAGUAAACGUAAGUAAAAUUCCCGAGGUAAAAACCAUACCAUCGUGUUGGCAAGUAUCAAGAAAAAAGCAGUCUCCUAAACUAAAGCCAGUAUGAAGAGAAAUGAUUCGUCUAAAAUGAACCUGCUGAGAAAAAGAUCACAAAUCCACAUUGGUCGUAACCCUCACAUGUGAGGGCCACCAUAUCAGACAUAACACCAUACCUUCAUGUGUCGGCCAGUAUCAUUAAAAGAGAAGUCUCCUAAAUUAAUGUCGGUAUAAAGAGAAACGAUUCAUCUAAAAUAAACCUGCCAAGAAAAGGAUAAAAAAAUGCAUAUCAGAAAAGGCUAAAUAAAAAUGAUCGUACCAAAUUUCAAAGUUUAGUUGGUUGAAAACCACAUGUCUUAGAAUGCCAGCUCAAACCAAUACAUAGUGAAUAAGUUAGAAAUGAAACUAGAUAAACUAAAUAACAAGCCAAUAAAAUAUUGUUUUGUCAUUAACCUUAUCACAUGCUACAAAGGAACCGGUCCGGCGUCGAUAAACUUCUUUCAUCAGUCAGUCACAGUGUUGCCUCACCUGAUGCAUUUGGCCCCUAUGGGAGUCUAUGCAUUGAUGGAAUACCUAUAUCACUAUGUGUAGCCACACAUUCCCAUUAAUCUUGGUGCUCUCCUUGGUCCACCACCAGAAAACAAUGGCUGAAACCCUCGUAUGUGAGGGUCACCAUGUGACAUCCACAUAUCAGACAUAAGUCUUAAAACUGGCCUACCCAUCGCAGCAGCCAUAACACCAUUCACAUUCGCACUACUGUUAGCAAUUUGUUGCUAAUUUUGAUUUGUAUUACCUUCUCAAGACUAGAUUCAUUUUGCCGCUGCUGUGCAGUUUCAGGCAAUUCUCCCAAGAGACGGGUCUUAUGUCACUUACAACAACUCUUCCAAUUCAACGGCACCAUCAUUAUCAGCCAUUGACCUCAAAGCUAUCUCAACCGCAAGUGUUGGCUCUCUUGAAUCUCCAGCAAGCUCUUGAAGUGCAGCUUUGUCUUGAAGAACCAUUUGAUUAUUCUCCAAAUUCCUCAACACAGUGGAAAAACUAAUUAGCGUAAAAGGUACCCGAUUAAAGACAAACACCAUCCAUUGAUCGAACAAUGGACAAAAGACUAACUUUCUUUGUUUCUGGAUAUGUAGUAACAGGAGAGGUUUUAGGGUAGUGGGGAUUGUUAUUAUCUUUCCGGGGUUUAUUUUCCUCCUCAUCCCCUGGAGAAUAAAAAAUAAAAAAAAUUCCAAGUGUUAAAAUAACAAAACUGUGAGAAAAUAAUUUAGUAAAAAAGAAUGUUUAUAAAAGAGGAUAAUAUUUCAAUAGCAUCAAACUCUUCAUCACUUGUGACUUAAACGACAAGUCUAACCUCGGAAGGCUUCACAUUACAAAUGUGAAGGACUCAUUGCUCAUCAGAACGUACAUGAUGUUCAUCUGAACGACAAAUUUCCUGUUGACAAAGUGAUAGAACUAGUUAAAAAUAAGCAUGUAAAUGACGUUCCUCAAUAUUUUAUUUUUAAAGCACUUAACAUGAAUGAUUUUUAGACACAUUUAGAUUGAAAUAAAAAUAAAUAAUUUUCUGUCUGAAUAUUUUUCUUUUAGCUAAUAAUGAAAAAGAAUAAAGAUAUUGUUAAUAAGAAAUCAGUUGCUAAAUUGAUGCAUACCUCAGAUAUAAAAAUACUCCUUAUUGAAUCGUUUAGGUUCCCAGCCAAAGGGUAAUACAACUCUCCUCUUUUGAUGUCCAAAAGAUUGGGAGUGCUCGGCAUUCCCUCAGAGAAAAUCUCGAGGAGAGGACAUUCAUUUACCUCUACUUCCACCAACAAUGGAAGGUAAAUGCGGGACUUACAGCUAGAAAACUUGUUAAGUUUUGGCAAACUUUCCAACACCAAUACCUCCAAAUUAAGUAAUCCAAAAUCAAGAUUCUCCUCUGCUGUAAUGAUUGCUUCAAGUGAGUUACAACCUUUCACCUUCAUCACUUCAAGCUUGCCAAGAAUUUCCCCCAUAGAAGAUGUAAUUAAACUUAUCAGUCCAUUGCAGUUGGUAAUCUCCAAAGAUAUUAAGCUAUUAAAAGAAGCACAUGAAGGAAUCAAGUUUGUAAGACUAGGACAAUAUUCUACUGCGAGGUGUCCAAUAAACUCAAGAAGUAGGUGGGGUCCUUCAUAUAUUUUAGGUAAAUGGGAAAGCUUCAAACUUUUUAGCCGAAUCUCCUCAUUUAAUAGUCUGUCAUCUAGGAAUAUUUUCUCAAAGGAACAUGAUUCAAGACUACAUGCACUUUGGAGAAGCUCACGAGGAAAUUCCUCCUCUUCAUUCUCAGACCUAUACAAGCCUAUAUGUUUCAUAUUGGUGACAAGAGAACCAAUGUUUUCGGUUUGUGAUAUCAUCAAGUUAGCAUCCUUUAUCAUUAUGUCUAACCUCUCCAGAUGCGGAAUCACCUAAAACAUACAUAAAGCACAAUUUAAAAAAACUGAGUAUUUAAUAUUAACUCAAUGAAUGUUAUUUUUUCAGUCAAAUAUGUUUGAAACUUCUUUUUUACCAUUACCUCCGCACUUUACUCAAUUUCUUUUAAAUCCAAAUAUCCAUUACAGUUAUAAUUAAAUGUUAGGUUUUAAAGAAACUUUUAAAAUAAGUUUCAAUUUGAUGAAGUUUUACAUGUGAAAAAUUUCGGAUACAUUGACUCAUUCAAUUUUCAAUGUGAAACUUUCUUCCAUUGCUCGCAGACUGUUUUAAAUCGUUCGAAAUUAAACAAUUGAAUACAACUAUAAUUGUUCGGUAUUUCAUUAUAAAAUACAAAGCCCUAAACAUGUGUUCUUUUCAAGAAAAUUGUUAUCAUAUGUUAAUAUUUAUGAUACAUACCUCUUCAACAACGAAAAGUGGUUCUUGAAGCAGCAUCAGAGACUCCUGAGUUUUAAAUACAGUCAACUUAGCACAGCCUAAAACAGUCAUCACUCUCAAAGAUGGACAUGCAAGGGUGUGAUUUCCUCCAUAAAAGCCUUUGAGCUGCGGUAAGGCCUUAAAAGAUAGAGUCUUCAAGGCAUUCAAUUCAAAUUGUGGAGGUAUAAAUACAGAAUCCUCAUUCUCUAUAACUGCAACAAUUUCCUUGCAAUCACUUAUACAAAGACUGUUGAGCUUGGAGCAGGAAGUGACUACAGAAAGAGGAAGUACAUGCUCUAAGCUUCCACACUGAUAUAUAUGUAGUCCUUCCAGAUCAUGAAAAUUCAGAACUCCUUUAGGAUCCAUACUCCAUAUCUUUUUUACAUUUGGUAAUGUUUUUAAAAAAACAUUUUUCAAAUGGGUUGAAUCCUCUAUACUGCUUUGGUCACUCGGAGUCAAUUUGAAUAUCUCUUUGAGUAAAGGACAAUCUGUUAUUUGUAACCACUCCAAAUUGCAAAUUGUUUUUUGUGUUGAAGAAGGAAAAACCACCACGAGGGAUUCACAAUUUUUGACCACCAAGCUCUCCACCUUGUCAAAUUGGAAGUGCCAUAUUGUCUUCAAGUUUUUCAUGUCCGUUAACAUAACAGACUUCAAUUCGGCAAAUCAAACCUAUAAUUCACAUUUUAUGAAAUCAUGAAUAUUAUAUCAAAUAUUUAUUUAAAAUACAAUCAAAACAUGAACUUCCAUAAAGUAAGAUCACCAUACCUCUUCCAAUGCAGUAACAUCACUGUUUGCCUUUUCUUUAGCUAUUAUCUCCUCCAUUGAACGACAGUUCUUAAUUUCCAGUUGUCUAAGGUUUUUAAAACUUCCAACCAUGGUAGACAAAAAUAAGUACUUAAUAUUUUCACAGUCCCGCACGAUCAAAGUUUUCAAGUUGAACAUAGUAAUAUGUUGAUUGUCAUCCCAAAAAUUUUCAACAUCUAGUUUGCUCAAUGUAAGGGAAUGCAAAUUAGGAAAUGCAACCUACAUAAAAACAUGUUAAUUAAAAUCAUGAUUAAAGGUUUAUUAUGACAAGCAUUAUAACUUUGGAGAUGCAUCACUCAUCCAAAAUCCAUACAUGCCUUCUGGGCAUUUUAUCACACUACUUAUAUAAAAAUUCACAAGGGGGAAAAAGUUUUUAUACUAGUAUAUGUAAAAAAAAAUAGUUACCAAAUUAUACUGUAUAUUGGUGUUUAAAUAAUUGAAUUUGUGAUCGAAGUUCUUGAAGUUCAAGACUUGAACCAAACCAGAUUUUUAGAAAAAAAUUCACUAACCAAACUGUUACACAGUACAGUUCGGUUCCGCGAACUGUUUCACUAAAUAAAGAGCCACAAAAUCAUUCACUCAAACUUGGCAAGAACAGAGGAACUCUAAAUCCCUAAUCCCGGAGAUUCAGUUUCUCACUGAGACAUACAAGGAUCCAAUCAGAAAAUUUAAAAGUAAUAAAACAUUGAUGAAUUUUUACAAUGACCCAUAUUUGAACCUUUGUGAAUGUAUGAAUACUUACUCUUUUACCUUAUUAUAUUAUAUAAUUGGACUCACUCCUCAGAGUCUAGGUCGGUGAACCUUCCGUCAAUUAUUUUUCAACUCUGAGUUCUAGUUUUAUUACUUUCAGUUUUUUAUUUUGCCAAACUGACCCACUCCUAUAAUCAUUUGUAACCUUCUAAGAUUAUAGCCGAUGAUCACAUAUAUAUAAAGUAGAUAAUUCUCAUCAUACAUUGCUGCUACAUUAAAUAUUGAAAUUAGUUGGUGUAUACUGCAUGUCAUUAAAUUAAAAUCCUAUCAUUUAUUUUAGUAUAAAGGUUAAAAUGAAAAUAAAAAACAAACCUGAGAGCUGUUAAACAGUGCAGAACUUAAAGGCUCCAACCCUUGAUACUCAGUUAUCUCAGAAGACCCCGAAUUAUAAUAGCAGAAAUUAUCAAGCUUAUGUAAAUGAUCCAAUUCCAAUGUCUUCAACGAAACAAACUCGAUAAUUUCAUUAUCUACACUUGCAUAAUUGUCAUUUAAGAAUACAAUGCCUUCCAGAGAACCGCAUCCAGAGACAUGGAUCUUCACAAGUUGUGAAAGCUCCUUGAUCAAUGAUGGAGAUAGAAGGUGUUUCAAUUUAAAACAAUUGAUGACCUCUAUAGUGGUGAGCUUUCGAAAAGAAUUAGGUGCAACGGGACCACGACAUAUCUCCUCCAACAUCGAUAGACCGAAAAUUUCCAACUUUUCCAAGUUGGGAAAGAAAAUCUGGCCCAAAUGUGUGUCAACUAUGCGUUUCAAUGAACUAUCAAACCUGAUGCGAAGAACUUCCAGCAAAGGAAAUCCGUCACUAUUGAGUUGAUUAACAUUCUCAAGGGCCAUUGAGGAGGAGUGAUUUAAAAAUAAAGCUUCAGCUCUUUUCAUUAGUUCCUCAAUGUGUGCAUUAGUACAACAGAUGUGCAAUGUAUUCAAGGUUUCAGAAUAAAAUUCCAUUAGAUGAUAGCAAAAAUGAAUUUUGAAUCUUUCCAAUUUCUUAAACAUCCAUUGCAAAUCUAGUGGAAAAUCAUCAGUACCAACCAUUAACUCAAGAGUUGUCAACUUUGACAAUUGCCUCAACUCAGCAAGGUUUGACAAUUGCCUCAAAUCAGGACUUUCCAUCUCAGAAGCUGUACCAUUGGAUUCCCAUAUAAUGAAGUUCCUGCACUUCAACUCCUCCAGUUCAGUCAAGCAUGAUAAAAUAUUGGGUGGGAUCUCUUGGAGUCCAGUUUGGUUACAAUCAAGUGUUUUAAGGUGAAUCAACUCCCCUAUUUGGCUUGGCAAUGAGAUAAGUGAAGAACCAAAGAAGUUAAGAAAUUGUAAAUUUGUCAAAGCUCCUAUUCCCUCCAUAUUUUCCAAAACACAUAAAAACAAUGACAAUGACCUAAGAUCUGAAAGGCAGCAAAGAGAAGAUGGUAAUUGGCACAAAUUGAAUUUGGUUAAAUGCAACACUUUCAGUUUUACCAUCCCCUCAAAGAAAUUAUCUGGAAUUUCUAAAAGAAACUUUGAAUUGCUGAGCACCAAAAGCUCUAGAUUGGGGCAGUCUAACCUCUGAGGAAGUAAGGUGAUGUCACAAUUCAAUAUAAUUUGCGAGCAGUUUCUGAAAGAAUCGUUUGUGCAGUUUCUCAUAGAAUCAUUUGAGAACGGCCGUUUCACAAAGACAUGUUUGUCUUUUGAUGCAAUGUUGAGAGCUACUUCCCUAACCAUAUUAUGCAUUUCAAUUAUCUCACAUUUACCAGAUUCUCUCAAUAGACAUGAUGUUUUCAAAUAACCAACCAAUACAUGUAGGCGGUGUCUUCCAUCUCUCACAGUUUCUAUUUUUUUCAACACGCCUAAGCCCAUUACCACUUCUAAAUAGGACUCCACUUUUUGAAAUCCCAAUACCGCGAUGAGUAAGAGGAGUGUCCUCGCUUCGUCGCACUCUAAUGAGUUGUAACUCAACUCCAAAGGAAUAUAAACUAAAGCACCAAUCUCCUCUGGACCAACAUCUUCUAGUUGUCGUACUGCAUUUUCCCAAUAGUUAAUAUCUUUGUUUACUAAUGCACGUGCGACCGUUGUAAUGGCUAGAGGCAAACCUGCACACUUCAAUGCUAAUUGAGGUGCUAAACUUUUUAUCCGGUGAUCUCUAACCACAUCUUCAACCAUAAAUUGAAACAAGUCAAUAGAUUCCGUGUCAUCAAGCGGUUCAAGUCUGAAAGUGAAAUUUUCCGGAGCGCCCAUUUUCAAUAAAUUCUCUUUACUUUUUGAACUCAUCAUCAAUUUGAAAUUGGUUGGUUUUUUAUUAUGGUUCCCCGUGUGACUGUCUGUCAUGCUAAAUGGAAUCCCCACUUUCUGCAAAUCAAGAGUACCACAGAUGUCGUCCAGAAUGAUGAGGAUAUUCUCCUUUCCUUUCAUCUUUUUCUUUAAGCGGAUUGCUCUAGCAUCAAUACUUUGCAUAUCAAACUUCAGACCUAAACCUUCGGCAAUCACCUCCUGAAUGUUUUCAAUAUUGGAAGUUUUAGCCAAAACCACCAAGUUAAAAAGCUUCAGCUGUUGUGCAAAUCGAUCGACUUCCUCCAGUAAAUAGGUCUUGCCAACACCACUCAACCCAUAAACCCCGAUGAUGUGUGAACUAGGGUCUUUUAGAGCUUCUAAGAUAUUAUUCAGAAAUGAGCGCCUUGAUGCCAACAAUACUUCCUUAGGUGAUGGUGAGGAAAAGGAUACAAUAUCCUCUUGAUGACGAGGAUUGUAACCGACACGGCAGUCAAACUUUCCACUUUGCAGCUUUUGGGUAACAUCUAAAGAGAUUUUGGUGGCUCUUCGACUUAAUUGUUGACGUUGGUAAAUCAAGUUAGGGAAGUCCCAACGAUAGCAACCGGCUUUGGAAUGGUUUGGAUCGUUGUGGAGCAUGUUAACUUUGUUAAUGACUUGAUUCACUUCUUUCAUCCAAUUUAAGACAUCAUUCUCAAUUUCUUCGCCAUUUGACUUAGCUUCUUCAAUGGAAUGAUUGACUCUUUGUCUUGCAGCCUCUAGAUCUUCUAAAUCUUUAGAUAGCUUCUUCAAAUUGCACUUGUAAAAAAAGCACAUAUCUUGCUUGUCUGAGAACAGGCUCAACAGUAAACUCAACUAAUUUGGAACCAACUGAAGUGAGAAUUUCCAUUAUACAGGCUUGAGUGAAGGUAGCUGAAAUUCAAAAGAAGAAAUAGAAUGUUAACACUUGGUUUAUCAUAUAAUAAAAUGAGUGAAUCAGUUUAAAAGUGAUUAUGAUUAUGAUUAAAAUCCAUCUAACAGGGUUAUAGGAACAGCUAAAUGGACAGUAGGUGAGUGGUAUGGGGAAUGAUUGAGGGUUCAGCAUUCUCUAUUAUGAGAGUUCAUGUCUAGCUAACUCUAAAGCCUCUCCAUGAGAAGCAUCCUCUUCAGAGACUAGAAGCUCAAAAGAAUUAUGUAGAGAUAAAGUGCUCUUCUAUAUCCAACACACAGUCGUAUUAUCAGUUUCUAAGGUAAAUGGUUGCACUUUGAGUGAUUAUGGCAGCAUUUUGCUCCAUUAGCUUUGAAUCUUUUCCUUUGUAGGAGGAGCCUCCAUAUGAGUGGAUUGUUUCUUAUUAAUCAUGAAAAAAUUUAUUUUUAAUUUAUUUUUAUCUUCAUGAUAAACAAGGUUUGUAAACAUUCUAGUUCUGAUUAUGAUUAAAAUGCAUCUAAAUUUGAAUAGUUGAACAAAAGAAGACUCAGAAUCAAAUAAAAGUUGGUAAAUUUUCAUAAAAAAGCCAUUUUUUUCUUGUUGACCUAAAAGAAAGAAAAAAAGAAACAAGUUUAAAUGAAUUUCUGAAAUCUAACAAGUUAACAAUAUGACUUUUCAGAAAAAUCAAAGUUGGUAAAUUUUCAUAAAAGUUACUAAAGACAAGUAUGAAUGAAUUUCUGAAAUCUGACAAUAACAAAAAAAGGAACACAAGUUAUAGGUUUACCUCAAAGCUCAAGCAAGUAGAUGAUGUAGAAACGCAGCAGUGUAGAAUGAAUGAAUGAGAAGAAGUUGAAGCUGUAAGUAACAAACACGAAAAUAUCUAUCAGCAAUGUUAUGUUAUGAGAAGUAGAAAUGGAUGAAAAAAUACAUCACUGUUGUGUUGAAUGAAGAUGAAAGUUGAGAGAUUGAAGUGUUUAUGAUUUGGAAAAUGGAAGUGUGAAAAUGAAUGGAAUAGUAAAGUUCAGUGAUUGAAGUACUUUUGUUUGAAAAUUGGAAGUGUGUUAAAGUUGAGAGUUUCUGUUUUUGAAAGUGUAAUGAAGAGAAGAUUCUAUGUUUGGCCCACUUAUUUUAAGUUUUUCUACUUAAAAAAGU